RNAcentral lists this long non-coding RNA (73770 nucleotides) under Coffea arabica (coffee). RNAcentral describes it as "long non-coding RNA (CARA_LNC007575)". The record is from RNAcentral. Lineage: Eukaryota; Viridiplantae; Streptophyta; Magnoliopsida; Gentianales; Rubiaceae.
UUUUUUUUUUUUUUUUUUUUUUUUUUUGUUCUUUUUCCAAAUUGGCAUAGUUUCUUAUGAAUCUCUUAUAUCAGGAUUCGAAACAUUGCACCAUAAGAUAAUAAGAGGUCAGAACCAAAUCAUGAGAAAUUAGGGUUAAAAAAAAGCACAUUUGCAAUAUAUUUGAGAGUUUAUAGGAAAAUCCAUCCUGACUUUUGUGCCUGCAUUAGUUUAAGAAAGGCAAAAGAAACACUCACAUAAGAAAUCUGCAACUGUUCUACCAUUGGUGAAUCUUCCAGUAGGGCGGUGAAAGAAAGUUGAACCAUAAGGUGGAAAAUCAGCUUGAGCAGCACAGUACUUGUUAUAGUGAUUGUUUCCGGCAUCAAAAAUUGAGUCUCCAAAUACGUAGAUUGAUGAUACCUUGUAUCCUAAAACAGAUGACAAAAAGUUUAGGAGGAGAAAGAAUAUGAGGGUUUUCUCCAUCAGGGCUUAUGUGAGUAAUGCGCUAGAGAAAAAGGAUGAUGUGAAUUUAUCUGACUAGAAAGAGAGGAGAAGAAAACAAGGAGAGUGAUGAAAUGAAACGGAAAGCACGAGCUCAGGCCAUGCAUGAUGAGCAUCAUCAUUCAUCACUUUCUGAUCAAAAACAGCUAGCCAAAACUGUUACUUGCCACCAGAAAAAUUUGUCUUUUUCUGCAAAAAAUAGUUCUAUUUAUCUGCUGUUUUUUGCAUUUAAAGUUGUGAACUUGAGAUGAAAUGCAUGCUGCAAAGGAAAAUUUUUUUCCAGUAGACAUUUGACUUUCUCAAAUGUAUUUGCGUUACUUUUGAAAAUCCUGUACAUCCCCUUUAGCCAUGGUUUUCCUUUUUUCUAACUUAUUGAAUUUUUGUUUAACUAAAAUUGCAAAAGCAAGUCUUCUUUUCCCCAAAAUGAACAGAGACUAUAACUAUAUGGAGACCAACAAGAAAAGAAUAUAAGCACACAUGAAGAGAGCUCCUUGAUAUGUAGAUAGUAAACAAAUUUUAUGCAAAAUUUCGCGGCCUUGAUCCUUUUAUUUUAGAGAUGUGUACUCAUUGUUUUCUUGGAAUGUCCAACAAUCUUUUCUAUUUAAAAUUGGGAUGGGAAAAGAGAAACUAAAAACAGGAGGGGAAGUGGUAAAGGCCUGUUUUUUUUUUCAUGAUGAAGUAGAAAGCGUCAUAAUGAGUUCUCUCAAGUUAUUUCUCAUCUAAAAGACUUCAAAUUUACAUAAGUUUUGGACAUCCUGAAAAACAAUGCAAGCUAGAAGGACAAACAACUAAUUUGUAAAAGAAUGAUGAGGCAAACCAAUUGUUAAUAAUCAUAAUUACUUAUUAGUGGUAUGCUUCGAGUUCAUCAGAAGCCAUUUUUCAGCAUAGACAUUAUACAAGUCUACUUAUGAUAGAAUACUUAUUACUUAGUUGCUGUCUAAAUACUACAAGAAAUUCUUGAUUCAGGUAGGACACUUUGAGUAAUUACUAUUACUUAUGUGGGAGUUUUAAUCAUGCAAAAUACAAGUCACAAAAAGUAAAUUUGGUCACAGUAGAAACUGGAGAUUGACAUCUUAUGCCUGAAGAAAUUACUUCUGGAUGGAAAAAUUUUAUCAUCUUUUUGGAUGAAAAUUAACUAUCAAUUUGACAGUUAGAGGCAGGAGCAAAUUGCAAAUAUAAUGGAUUAAUAGGGCCAAAUGCAACUUGCCCUUUAAUUACAAGGUGUUUAGCGUAAUUGAGCCAUUCUUUCGUAGGUUGUAUAACUUGUAUUCAUAAUUUUAGCGCUCCCUGCUCCCUUGCUGGUUGCUGCAUUGACCGCCUCAGACCCCCAACAAAAAAGAAAAAAUCGCAGUUGAUUUCUUCGCGGAAAUCAGUGAAAUGAACAGAGAAAUAGAAGAAAUCCAAGAAGAUUUAUUAGCAAAGGCAGCAAAAGCAGCUGAUGAGCUCUAUAACAUUCGGGACACCUACUUUCCUGCGGACCCAAAUGACAAAAUAUCCAAAUUGCAAGCUGAAUCGGAUCUUGUCCUGCAAACCCUCAAUUCCAUUCCUCCAGGUAGAAACAUGUACUUGUGCAUUACAAAUUUAGCAAAUUAGUAAAAAAGUUUCAUUUUUGUUAUUGGGUUUAAGAGAUUUUCCUUUCUGGAUUGAUGUGCAGAAAACAGGAAAUUGCCAAUUCAACGUGCAAUGUACGAGUACUUGAAAGGGAAAGUAUUGGAUGUCUUCUCUGAUUAUAGGAAAGAUGCUGAGGAUCAUCUCUCAAAAGCAGUGAGUAUAAAAGAAUUGAUUUGUAUCAAAUGGGUCUUUGUUUCUAUUUUUGUCUAUUUUUAAUUGAAUUGUUUGAUUUUGCUGAAAUUGAUGGUUUUUUUUUUUUAAUUUUAACUAUUUUUGGUGCUAAAGGUUAAGUUGAAUCCAUCUCUUGGAGAUGCAUGGUUGAGUUUAGGCAACUGUAUUUGGAAGAAGGGAGAUUUAUCUGCGGCUAAGAAUUGUUUUAUGCUUGCUUUAAGCAAGGUCAUUUCUUGUUUUAUUCUUUGAAAACUUUGUUCAUUUUAUUAGUAGUAUGUUAAGUCAUGCAGUGAUGUAAGUUAGCUAGUUGAUGAUAUGAGACUGAUGUUGUUUCUGUCCAGGGCCCCAACAAAAGGAUACUCUGUCAAUUAUCUAUGCUCGAAAGGAAAAUGGCUCAAGGCAAGAAUUUUAUGGAUAUUGCUCUAGUUCUUUUCCAUGUAAUUUUGCUCAUUCUUUGACUGUCUUCCUUUGAGAGAUGGGGGAAUCCAUGAAUGAAUGACUGGAGUAAUAGUAUGGUGAAGCUGAAGGACGUGCCAAAUUGUAAAUGUGAAUUUAUAGCUGUUGAAAGUCAGAGAUCCUUACUUUAGAAUCUAGCGUAGUAAGAUUUUGAGUAUUACUUGAGGUAGGUUAUCAUGGUUUUUGAAAAUUUUGAGCUUAUCCAAGCGAUUAGGGAAAUGUGGCUAGCCAGAUAUCCUUAGUCAUGGAGCGUGACUCAUAUGUUGGUUCUGGCUUUGUUGCACUGUGACCUCGAUGAAUAACUGUUCUCUUUGAGACUUUGACUGCUAAAUUUCCUAUAUCUUUUGUCACAAUAGAUAUCUUUGCCCAGCUAAACGUAACACUGAUCAAAUCAUUUAUCACGUAUUGCCUUUUCGAUUUUGGGAAAGAGUAAAAAAAAAGAGGGUUGAAACACCAUGGCAUGUUCAAGCUUCUUUGCUGCUUUGGUCCACUACACAGCAGAAAAUAUUCUCUGGACCUCCUGCAGUGAUAUGAUCUUAGAUGGUUGAAGCUUCAAGUUCCGCACUUCUCUGGUAGUUUAUUCUGAUUCUCUGUAAAUCCAUUGUGGCCUUUUCAUCGAGGAUUAUCAUGGAUAUGCUUUAAUAACUUUAAUAUGAGGAGAUAAUUUUUAUCUAUACUGUUACACAGCUGUUACUCAUAGAAGAACUAGAUAUGUUAUGAUGCCUCUAUUCAAAUAGACUGAAAAACAGUAACAACUUUAAAUAUCCUAAUGGCAGUUUCAACUCUGACAUCUCCAUGUCUUUAUCCAAAUUUCACCAUACAAGCCUUAUUGACAACACAACUCCACUUUUUCCUGAUACUCUUUGCUGCUCAUAUGUAUCCCUGCUUACAAUUCGUAAAAAUACUAGAGUUGAAUUUAGCUGAUGACUUCUUGUGCUAUUCUGCUCAUCAGAUUCAUUAUCCACUUUCCAGGUACUGAAAAACAGGCAGAAAUUGUUGAAGAGAGCAUUAAACAUGCAAGGGAAGCUAUUGCUCUUGAUGUCAGGGAUGGAAAUUCCUGGUGUGAGUUUCUAUUAUAAGUCAAAUUCUUCUGUACUUCCUUUUCUAAUUUAUUAGUUAAAGAUCUGGUGUAGGGUAUUCGCAUUGCUUGGCAGAGCGCAUGCUUUAAUUUGAGCAUUUGUUUGUGAAACUGAAUGUUAGCUGUAAAACCUGCCUACUGACAACUAGAGUAGUCCUUGUCUUCUCACUUAACAUUCCAAAUCAACAUGCAUGCUUGUGUGGACUCUGGCAUCAGUGAAUGGUUAGGACUGAAAAGUGUUGAUUCAGCCUUCAUCUGAAGCAAAGAUCUGGAGACAUGGGAGAGUAUUACCAACUUCUAAUGCUGAGAUUUUGCAUAAUGAUAACUUUAACCCUUCAAUUCCUGUCCAUCUAUCGUGUGUUUAAUAUGCUUUGUGCUUGAUAAUGUUGACAUUUGAUAUACAAGAUGGCCUUUUUAUGCUUAUUCAAGUCAUAUGCAAUAUUAUUGUCUGAUGUUGACAGGAGACUUGAUGCAUUCUUGAAGAGUCUCUAAGACAUGCUGUGGGUGUAAUCAACAUACUCAUUGUUCUCACCUACCAACCCUUAAAAAGUAGAACUAAAAAGAAAAGGGAGACUUAAGAUGGUAAAAGCUAGAAACACAUGGUACUGAUAGAUUUCCUUUUAUUUCAGGAUUAUGGGUACCUUGUUGUUGAGAGACCAAGAAUAAUCAUGCCUAUCUACCAGACAUUUUGAGCAUACAGCAGUUCUAUGGCUAAUAGUUACAUAUAUUGUUUCAUGUUUUCAUCUUUGGCAGAUAACCUAGGGAAUGCAUGCCUAACCUCUUUUUUUGUUACCGGAGCAUGGGAUCACAGUAAACUUCUGCAGUCACUGAAAGCAUAUCAAAAUGCUGUAUGUAUGAGAUAAUAACUUAUACAUCCUCCGCGUGAUGUAUUUCUACCCUCUGAAUUGUUAUUAAGCCUGUAAAAUAUUUCCAUUCUGCAUAUCAGGAGAGAGAUGAGACAAUGAAAUCCAGUCCAGACCUGUAUUUCAAUUGUGCUACUGUAAGUAUUUGUUCAACACUUUAAAUCUUUGCUUUUCUUUAAGUUUGUGUGAUUCUUUUUGUGCUUUCUAGCUUUUUUUUUUUUAUAAUAAUCUAUAAAAGUUACACACAGGACCUAAUUGAAUGAAUAAUUAUAGCUGUGAUUCUCAAACUUUAACUGACAAGUUUCAUGAAUUAUGCGGAGGACAGAAAGUAGUACUCGCUUUGUAUUAGCAUUAAAGAUGCUUUUCAAAAUUCCAUGUUUUUGUGUAAGGUAGCUCAUCUUGCUUGGUUUCGAGAUCUUAUUCCAGCUUUGCCCAAAACAUUGUCAUUUUUAAGUCAUCUAUGUCUUUUAAGUUCCGAAAAUGUUUGUAGUGGGUGUGAUUUCAAGCUUUGAUGAGAUGAAACUUUUGAUUCUUGGAGAGGUUAUAACACGCGGAGUGACGAACCCCAAAGUUGAUUGUUAUUUGCAUCUUGUGCAAUAGUAAGAUUCCUUUGGGGUCCCAUGUGGUCAGUUUUGCUCCUUUAAAGACCUCAUUUGUGGGUAACUUUGGAAGUACGCAAGGAAAAAAUUAGUGAUUCGAUUUUUGGGUAGUCAAAAAGGAUGUCAUUUGGAAGUUACAAACCAAAGUUUUGAGCUUUUGUAUUAACCUGCAGUAGCCAUGAUGUUAAUGGUCAGCUAACUAGCUGUCUUGGAGAGAGGAAAACAAAAUACUGAAGUAAUGGAACAAAGCCAGUGAAGAUGCAUCAGUUUCACAAAAAAUUAGAAGUUGACAGUCAGAGAGGAAAGCUUUAGUUUACUAGUUUAGACAACCUCUGGAUCAAAUUUUGGCCCUCUGAUACCUUUUUGUGUAAAAAAGGGCUAUGUAAUCACAAUAUUGACCAUAUUCUUGAGUUCUGUUUACCAAGGAUCAGCCAUCAGUGGUAUCAAGUAUGUACUCUUAAAACUCAUGCUUUAGUCCAUACUCCAGCUAACUUUAAUUCCAGAAUCAUUUAGUUUUUGGCUUGAACAAUGUCUAGACACAUAGCUGGGAGAUCUCAUCAGAAAACAGUUUGGCAUAUUUUUAACUGUUUUUGUUGUUCAUUUCCUCAGCUUGUAAUUGUUUUGACCAAGAAGUUUAAUGCUUUUACAAAUUAUUUUCAUUCGAAUGAAAUUCCGUGAAUACUUAUUUCUUUCUGUUAUCAUUUAAUUUACCAGUUAAAAUUAAAAUGAAAUUUUGUUAGGAGGCUUCUAUUGAAGUUAAAAUUGCUUUUACAUUCAUGAAUUUCCCCUGCAGUGUACAAUAUCUGCAGAUGUGGAACGUGUUUGAACUUCCACUGGGUCUAGUUAAACUGAAUCUAUUCUUCACUCUGCUUUUGUAUGCUUGUAAAAUUUGAAUCUGUAUUCUUUCAUUGUAAAAUGCAUUUGAAUUCAUUACUUGCAUCUGCUUUGCUUCUUUAUAAUGUAGAUGCUAAGAAGGAAUCAGUGUUUGACAUGGCUGAGAAUUAUUCAUUCAGGUGAACAAAUAUUUAGAGAACUAUGAGAGAGCCCUUACUGGAUUUGAAGCGGCUGCCUUGAAGGAUCCUGGCUUAAAUGCCACGGAGGAAGUUGAGAAGAUAGUUCAUCUUCUUGACAAAUUGGAGAGUUUGCUAAAGGUUAGUUGUUUGUCUCCAUGAGGUAUAAUAAAUAUUUGGACCACAUUGAUGCUGCUCAAAUAAACCUCAUUUCCUCUUGCUUAUAACACUGUUGGUUUGCUUGUAUUUAAAUAUUUUACAAUUUCCUGAUGAGUGAAAAGAAGAAGAAAAUUUUAGAAGCUAAGGAAGAAAUUAAAAUCUGCUCAAAAUGAUUAAGCUUUGAGUUGAUCAAAAAUUAGUUAUGGAAAGAAGUCUAAAUUAUCAGUUGAUGAUAGUAUUGAUUCCGAAGGAGCUUGAUCAUAAUGAUGAUAACGUAUCUAGCCAGUAAUGUCAAAUGUGGAUAGAUUAAUAAUGAAAAUUCUAGUGUUCGUUUCUUGCAAUUAGUUCCAUUCAGUGAUUAUAAAUAUGCUUGUUUAGUAGAAUAGAACGUGGAGUCUUUGCACCAUGAAAUUGGAAGUAUUUUGUCAUGCUGAUAAUUGCUACUUUUUCUCUCUUUAUAUCCCACAUGCAUACUGCGCAAGUGAAUUAUCAAGUUCAACUGGGUACAUGGGUCAGAACAAGAAUACCUGUAUGUAGAUUUGAACAAAGCUAGUGCCACCAAUAAAUAAGAUGGAUAUGUUUAUAUACAGAGAAGAGUAGGGGCUGGAUUUAGCAGACGCUAGUUGGAGCAUGGUUUGUGUUUGAAGUUAAGCAUUAUUAUCUUAAGAAAUCCAUCUUUGACUACUUGCUGGGAAAAUUUUAUAUCCGCAAUAUACCUAGGGUGGAUCGUAGAGUAAUCUGGUUGUUCCAGAAUGCUCAUUUCCCCUACAAGGGGCAAACUUGGUAAGGGCCAAAUAGUAGGCUUAGCCUAUAGGACCAGAGCACACAGUAAACAAUUUGAUCAAUCACACCACCGUCAGGUUUGACAGUCAUUUUUAUUUAUGAUUAUAAUUCUUGUUGAUCUAAGCAUUUGGCAUGAAUUCUAAAUAUUAUUUGUGACGCUCAAAAUGAUAACAAUGUAACUGUGGUUUGUUCAUUUUUAUGCUCUAUUAGAACAGAUAGCUGAGCAUUGCAUUUUGAGGCAUGCAGACAUUUCCAAUUCUAAUAUGUUUUUGUUUUAUAGGGACAAACUAAGGCUAAGCGACUUGCUUCAUUGGCGUCAUCACUUUCCACUGUAAAUGGUAUGCCAGAAUACUGAUUCUACACAUGUCCUGAAAAAAAUGUUUGUUCAACAUGUUUACGUGAUGACAGAACAUGCUUGAAGUUGCAACUUGAUACAUGCAAUUUCAAUCAUUUGUUGUCUCCUGUGAUUAAUCCAUGUUAAUUUUUUUUAUUUUCCUAUCUGUAGUAAAUCCUUCAUAUAUUCAAGUCAGUGUGGAUCGUCUAGCAGAAGGUUUAAAUAAAGGGGUUGCCGUCGUGGGAAAGGUUCUAUACUUUAUUAAACACCAAAACGUGGCUCCAUUGUGAGUACUUAGCUAGUUUACUUCUCUCCAACUAUUUUGCAUAACAGUUGAGUUGCCACACAGUUUCACUUUGAAUUGCACCAUCCACAUGUUUACGUUCAAAAGCAUGCCAUUUUUUUUUUUUUUUUUUUCCGUUUCUGAGAUGUAUUAUAUUGCAGAUACUAUUUGCUGUGUGAUGCAAAUCAAAUAUGCUAUGUGUUAUCAGUCUAUGGGAUACGUGAUGAUGUGGUAAGUUUUGCCUGGCAAUGAUGAAAGCAUCUUUAUAAAGGAAAAAGUUGAUAUUUCACUUGAGUUACAUUUUUCCCUACUGAAAGAAGCCUAAUAAUUUGUCAUGUGAAUAAUGUUUCUAAAUUUCCCGAACAGCCUUAAUUUCUUUGUUUGUUUAAUUUUCUUUGGCUUGUGGUUUGAGUUGAAAGGGGUAGACAAGAAAAAAGGAUGGCUCUACUUGAUUCAUUCCCUCUGUGGUCUCUCUUAAAGUUAUAGGAAAUAUUGUCACAGAUUUUAAUCCAUGAAUUAUGUUUAUUCAAAACAAAUUAGGGAUGCUUACAACCAAGAAUGCAUUGUCCUUGCUAGUUUUCCCUUUCACCAUGUGGUUGAUUAUGACUCACCUGCAGGCCAAUGAAGUUAACCCUCUGAAGUUAUUAAAGAAACUCCCCCUCCCCAUUCUGCCUCUGUCUGUGUCUCUCACUCACGUGUAGGAUGGAAAGUUUCCAGCCAUGCUCUCCUUGUUUCACAUGAUCCCAAUCCCAUAUUCAUCUAAUGAUAUGUUCAUUGCAGGUUAAAGAAGGAGACCAGAUCAUACUGCUGAGUCCCUAUUUCCAUAAUGUUGAUUUCUCUUGGAAUGGAAAGGUGUGCUCUUGACACUUUUUGUCACCAAAAUCAAUCCAUUUCUCAUCAUCAUUUGAUUUUGGAAAAACAUUCACGUUUCCUUUCUACAGCAAUGAAAAGACUGAUUCUGCUAAUAUCAUCAAUAAUGAUAUUGUCUCAGUAGCUAGUAAAGUUGGUCGUAUAAAAUAAUUACCAUUUGUAUGGUUGAUUUUGUAUCAGGUCUACCAGUUCAAAUCAGUACGUGUAGACUUCUUGGAGCAAAUGCUUGUUAAUGGAAAAGCUUUGUCUCAUAGCCAUGCAGUUCGAGCAUCGAUCUAUGCACAACAUAAGCCUUGAGAUUGCUUUUCAUUAUUGUUGUGGAUGUUACAUGUGUGAUUUAUAGUGGAAGUCAAGAUAAUCCUGCCGCGAACGAUGUGUCUUUUGUAUAUAGAACUGCAGCACAGAGUAAAGAAAUUUGCGCAUGUAACAUCGUGAAUUCUUCUCUCUUGUAUCCGUUUUGAGUCCUUGAAUUUGUAACCAUGACAUGAACCAAAGGAAAGUGGUAAAGAGAGAACAUGAAGGAAGAAAGCGAGGCCAGUGGUUCAUGAUUGCAGGGUCUGUGCUGCGAUUAUUGAUGAUGAAUAUGUACAAAUUGCAAAGGGGAGAGGUGGCAUUUUUUUUUUUACCUUAAAACUUUUUAUAUUUAGCUGCAAAGAGGUUUUUUUCCCCUAUUUUCUUCCAAUUGGCCACUAUGACUCUUUGGGCAGGCCCAAAUUCCCACACCUUCCAAUUCAAAAAAUUCAGUCCGAUCUAGGUGGGCCUUUUUCUAGUCUCACAUAAUCGAGUUAGGUCCUCUAUCCAUGACUAUAGUUGUUGUCAUUUGUAAAUAAAAAAUUUAAUCUCGUCCAUUAAAAGUAGGCAGUAAAAGAAUGUGGAAAACUAUGGUAUGUAAAUAGUAAGUCAAUAGAGCUGGGGAGGGAUGGGUUGGGUGAUUUAGCAGAAGAAGUAUAAGUGAGAGUUUUCUAAUAGUACACCACGGCUUCACAUCUUCACAACUCAACUCAUUUUGGGUCUUCUUGUUAUUUGAGGAAGAAAUUAAUAAGUUAUUACGUGACAAACUAUAUUAUUAAUUAGGACCUCUGCGGUAUAUGCAUGCAUUUGACGUCUUUUUCACCAAAACAUUAAAAAAAAAAAAAAAAAAGGCACAACGCGAGUGAUUGAAACAUACGCUUGACACGAUUUUCACGGGGUUGUUUGGUGUAUCUGCUUUAGUUUCUGAUUAAGAAUGCUGAUUCUUCAUUAUAAUAAUGCCUGUCAUCAAAAGGACUUAAAAUAAAUCGACUGUACUAAGCCAUGAUAAGGGAAGAGAGAUAGAUCGAUAGAUAGGGAAAAUGGCUGAAGCAUGUGCCAUGAAGGGAGGAGAUGGACCUCAAAGCUACGCCCAAAACUCAUCCUAUCACAUAGCAAGUUUUCUUUUGUGGGUCUUUCUCACUUUUAACUUUUCUGGGAAAAUGUAUUUUUUUUCUAUUUAUAUUCACUUGGUUUAUAAUUGACAAAAGAUUUUAAUGCUAAGGCCUCUAUUGUUUCAAGCCUUUGUUAGACUAGAAUCGUUUAAAGGUAUUGCAGAUAAAGCUCAUUAGACGUGCCUUAAGGCGUGCAGAUCUGAGGUUGAGGGAGAUUUUGGUUGAAUAAUAAGGUGGGAGAGAUUACAAGUAGAAUAUUUUUCAUUCAAAAUCGGUGUGUAAAUCUUUUAUAGUAAAAAUUGAUUUUUUUAUGGUAAGUGGUUGAUGAUUGAAACUUGCGACUUGUUAGUUAUAGAUUGAAAAAAGCUGAUUUUUUAAAAUGUAUAUUUCUUCUACUUUUUGGGUUGCAGGAAGGAGCAAUAGACGUUGAAAAAUAAAUUAUCAACAAAGAAAUUGACCCAAAAAAAAACUUGAUGUUGAUCAACUUAAGUGAAGAGCUUAUACAUGUCAAACAAUUUUAAUAGAAAAUAUUUCGAGAAAAAGAACACGGCCCACUUAUUAUAAUUCUCAUGACAUUAAUUUUAGUGAAUUUGGCCCUGAACGAUACCUCUACAGUAAGUUACAUUUGGUCACAGAAAACCAGUACAACUUUGUGGGGUGGUCUACCGAUUGAUUUUUUUUUUUUUUUGUCAACACAGGGUGUCCGAGUCAAUUCUUACGGGUCCGGGUCAACACAGGGGUGGUCUACCGACUGAUUGUCUUGCCAUUUUUGUGGUUGCUAACUAUUACAAUUGUCGUAAUGCUAUCCGGAAAUGGCCAAAAUACAAACACUUAUCUGGAAAUGGCUAGCUAGUAUAAAUCACUCCAUCCUUUUGGGCAGGGAAACCAAGACAUGACAAGGGAAGAGAUAUAGUGAGAUUAAAUGCGUGUGCUUUGUGCCAUGAAUGGAGGAAAUGGACCUCAAAGCUAUGCCCAAAACUCAUCCUAUCAGGUAGUUUUUUUUUUUUUUUUUUUUUGGGUUUUUACAGAUUUGUAUUCAAUUAAUUUAAAGACAAAGGAAUUUCAAGCUUUAGGCCAGUAAAAUAAUAGACACUGCAUAUGGUACAAUGAUCAUUCGACGAGUCUUUAAGGUUUGUAAUAUAAGGCUUGUGUCCUAAAGCUCAUCUAUUAUUUAUUUUUUUUCCCCUUAUGGUUGCAGAGAGGAGCAACAGAAGUAGCAAAAGAAAUUCUCAAAGAAGAAAUUGACAAAAAGCUAGACAUCAAACAACUUUCUUCAACCUCUAUGGAUCCAUUUUGCAUAGCAGAUUUUGGCUGCUCCACAGGACCAAAUACAUUUGUGGCAAUGCAAAUCAUCAUUGAAGCCUUGGAGGACAAAUUCAAAAAAGAGGGACUAACACCUGAAUUUCAAGUCUUCUUUAAUGACCUUGUAUCUAAUGAUUUUGACACACUUUUUGCUUCACUUCCGCCAGAAAGACACUACUGUGCAGCUGGAGUGCCUGGUUCUUUUCACAGUGUCAUGUUCCCAAAGGCGAGCCUUCAUUUUGCUUAUUCAUCUUACUCGCUUCACUGGCUUUCAAAGGUGCCAAAAGAGGUUACAGACAAUACGUCUCCUGCAUGGAACAAAGGAAAGAUUCACCAUGGCGGUGCCAAAAGGGAAGUUCUUGAUGCCUAUGCAUCUCAAUUUGCCAAGGACUUGGACUCAUUCCUGAAUGCAAGGGCACAUGAGCUCGUGGAUGGAGGCCUGAUGGCACUUCUUAUACCUGCUGCUCCUGAUGCUAUUCGUGAAUCUCAUACCAGUACAAUCACAGAGGUAGAAUGUGAAGUUCUAGGAUCUUGCUUGAUGGACUUGGCUAAGAAGGUGAGAUUUUAGCAUUCUAGUUAGUUUUAGACACUGGCGAAAUCAGAAGUUGAAAUUUGGGUGGAAGACUAGUAAAGACAUAUAAUUAUAUAUAUAUAUAUAUAUAUAUAUAUAUAUUCUCAUUCUUUUAUUUUUAUUUUUUUACCUUCCAACAUAUUUAUUUAUUUCUCUAAUUUUUUGUCAAAAAAUUGUACAUGAAUAUGUUUCAUGCUCUUUUUGAAUGUUAGAAUAUUAUGCUUUUUUGUCCUUUUUCAUUUUCUCAUAGUUCAAAUAUUUAAUAUAAAUAAUUAAUAGUUGUUAAAUAAUUAUGACAUCACGAGUCAAUUAAGGUUCGUCCAACGAACGAUUGAACCAGCCAUCCUUGAUCCAAUAAUUUUUUCUACUCGUUAAAAAAAAAAAAAAGAAAAAGAAAAUCUAACUACCUACUGUAUCCAUUGCAGGGAGUAGUGGACGAAGUGAAAGUGCAUAUGUUCAACUUGCCAGUAUAUUUCACAUUUCCCAAUGAGCUAAAGGCACUGCUGAAGGCAAAUGAAAAUAUGGACGUCCAGAGAAUGGAGAUACUAAACAUUCCAGGAAAGCAAGUGCUUUUUCCCAACCCUACUGCAAAUGUUUUGUACCUGAGAGCUGUCUUACAAGGAGUUUUGGAGAAGCAUUUUGGAAGUGGAAUCGUGGAUGAAUUGUUUGAACUGUAUGGACGAAAAGUUGCAGACUCUUCUUUUUUCUUUGAUCCAGAAAAUCAAGAUCUGAUCGUGAUUUUUGUUCUGCUAAGGUGAAAAAUGAGAACAUGAAUAAGUUAAUAUUUAGAGUACCAUUUUUAAUAAAAUGUGCAAAUGAGAGUUAAAUGUCUAAAGCCAUAAAAAAAAAUUUUUUUUUUUUGGCAAGUAGAAGUUUAAUAUGUCCCGUACUACAUGUGCUGCAAUUUAGUUUUAUCAUUUAGCUACAAAGGAUCGUGAAUACGAUCACUUUUGCCAACCAAGAAAAAAGAUGGACCAAUUUAUAAGGCAAGCUUUUUGUUCAUCACAGACUCAAUAGACCAAUUUAUAAGUUGAUAAAAACAAAAAAAAAUUAUCUACCUACAUUGGUUCGUCGUCCCUGCUCCAGGCGGGAGAAAAUAAAAAAGGAACUACAAAAUACACAUACUAUGGGCAAUAGAAUUGCAAAUAUGACUAUUGUCUGUAGUAGCCACUCUGGUUAGGAGGAUAUGGGGGUUGGACCGUGUAAGGGGGCCUAGGCAUGGAUCCUGGUUGAGGAGCUGCAUUAUAGUAUGGACCACGCCAUCCAGGAUAGGCAGGCUGGCCAUACUCAUGGGUAACAGGAGGCUGCUGUUGAUGCUGUGGGGGUGGGUAUGGAGAACCUGAAGCUGGUACGUGAUAAGGAGGUGGUACUUGUUGUGGCGGAGAGACAUAAGGGGAAGGAGAUUGAGCAUAUCCGGCCAUUGUUGGCUGCUGCUGGGGCUGGUAUGGAGGAGUUGGUGGAUGUGAAGGGUUGGACACAUGCACAGGUUCUGUGUGCUGUUGGGAGUUUGGCCUUGGAGUCUGAUGGGGCUGUCCAGCUGCAGGAUAACUGUAACCACCCGUACUCUUGUUAUCCUGAAAACUGAGACCUGCAAUGUGUCUCUGAACAUCUUCAAUCAUCUCCCGGCACUGAAUGUUCCUUGUCAUCACAAAAUCACUACACUGUUGCUUUAUAUUUGUGAUAGCAUCCUGUUUAACAGAAAAAAUUGAGCGUCAAUAAACAAAUUUUGAAUCGAUUACCAAACGAAAAACAGAAAAAAUGAAAAAAAAAAAAAAAGGGAUUCAUGAACCCCUCACCUUUAAUGUGUUUAAAAUUUUGGUUAACAGCCAUGAAUUAAUUGUUAAUAUACAGAAUCAAGCUCAACUUUCUUUGGCAUUUUAAAUUUGUGUAUUUGUCAAUGUAGAGCCAAAUGUAUCAAGGGUAAAGCUUCAUGAACAAUAUUACCUUAUAUUUAGUUAUCAAAACUACAACAGCCUUAAGUAAUAUAUGGGCAAGGCUAAAAAAAUGUAUAUAACUAUCCACUUAAGCCAAAUACGGCUAUACCAGCCAGUUCUCUCUAGCUGCUAAACCAUACUAUGGAGGAAUGAAUAAUGUAAAAGAUAACAGACUCACAUAACUCUGUUUGUGCACCAUUUUUUUUUUUUAAUUAGCUAAAUCAGUGAAUGAAGGGAGUGCCAACUGUUUGUUCAUCAUUAUUUUUGAAUAAAAAAUAUGAAAUUCAAGCUUCAAAUGGGUAAGAAUGACUUGAAAAAUAUAUAGGGCCAAACUCAUGAAGGAAAAGCUCAAACCUGAAGAGUAACAUAGAACUUCAGUCCUUCAUUUAUGUUCUCCUUAAUUUCUCGAUACUUAGCUAUUGCAGCUUCUAUUUGCUUGUAGCUCUUCUCUCGAGAAGCUGACAAAUUGAAACAUGGAUUCAGGCAUGAAAGCGUGAGCAACAGAAAGCAAUAUUGAGGGCAAAUUUAGAUGGGAAAAGCACUGAUUUUAGCUUGCAUCAAGUGCUAGAGCUGAACUUUGUAAACCAGUAAAGCAAGAAGGAAGUGCCAUAGCAGUAAGAAGUCAUAACAAUGAGUCAACACUACCUGUCAGGACGAUAACAAUAGAUUCUUGUUUAUUGCAGCAAUUAGACCUUAAGACUAAACUAAGGGAUGAAAAACUCGGCUCAAACUAGAUCCUACAAGCUGUGCACCAAGAAGGGUGCCAUCAGAAUUUAAACCAAGUACCUAUACGCCUCUCCACAUUCAAUACCCCAAAUUCCCAAUUAACAGACAGUUGGUAAAGGACAAUAGGCCAUAGUCCAAUUAUAUGACAUAUUAAUUCAUGCUAGUAAUGAGAAAAAGACAAUCAAAAUGGCAAGCUACUUUUCAGCACAUAUAUUAGAACCUGCUUUUGAGUCAUUUAGUCUGCUUCCGUGAGCAACAUCACAAAUUAUUGGUGAGAAAAAUUAUAAGCAUCAUCGUUGAUAGAGAAAAAGGAUACUUGAGUUUGAAAAAUCUAGCAAUUUCCAAGUAAAACAGAAAUAAGGGCUCGACAGGCAAAUUCCUCAGCCAAAUGAUAUCUAACUUACCACAAUUCAAAAACAUGUCUAAUUCUAAGAGGAAAACCAUGUACCAUUACCAAGUAAAAGCCACCCUAGUUGCAGUGCCAGUCAACUUAAUAGGUUAAAGCACCCUCUGCUAGACGUUUAUCCACAGCUAUCAUGAAAAGCAUGAAAUGUAGUCUAGAACUAUGAUUCCACUAUAAACCCAGUAACAAACACCACCAACCAUAACACCAUACCCUCAUAACAAACAUGAACAGAUGUGAAAAAGCCUAAUGCAAAGAACAUAAAGCAGAACAAACCUUUGAAAUCUUCAAGAUUAAAAACUGCUGCAAAGUUAUCAUUUUGAACCUGAGGCAAAAUAAAGACAAUUAGAACAAGAGGUUCUCAAACCACACCUGCAGCAUCUAAGAACGUUCCAAUUAGGACAGGCAAAUUAUUAAAUCAACAUCUACUCUGAUUUACAUUUUCAUUUAUCCAUGCCUCACCUCCAUGAGGGCAAAUUACCCUAACAAAACUGAAAAGUCAAUAUUUUGCAAAGCAAGGAGAGAAACAAAAUCUAUCAAAAUCUUGAUUUUUAAAUGCUGAUUUCCCUCCACAAGAAUCAUCAAUUGUCAAACUUACAACUCUCUGGACAGUUUAUUAUAGUACACCAUGUUAUCCCAUCCCCAGAGAAGCCUUAAUCGUCAAGUUGAUAAAUUUCACAGUAAAUUCACUUCUCAUUUCUGGAAAGGGAAAAAUUAACCUUGUCCUAAUAAACACAAACCAUAUGCAUAGUACUCAUAGCAUACCAAAUCAGAUCAUCAGGCAGCCAUAACUACAUCUUUCUGAUCAUUAAGUUUCAUCUUGUCAAAACUAGGAAGAGAAAAUUAGGGGGGGAAAAAACGAGUGUCAACAAAAGCAUGCCAAUGGCUUAAAAGUCACUUAAAAGUGGUCAAACAAAUAAAUGUAUUCUUUUCUCUUUUUCUGGUCAAAUGGAUGUUCAUCUUGAUGCAUGUCAAGGCACCAACAGUACACUGCUCACAGCAAAGAUAAAUGUUAAAAAGAAGCACGGCGAUUUCAUCCCUGCACUUGGCUGGUGUAAGAACCACAGGGUUGAUGUUGGACUCAGUAUUAGUAUCUAAUGUUCUAAACAGCACCCGACUGACAAACAGAAUGAACGUCCAAAAUGCUUUAUUUCAUCUCUUUACCACAUCAAAGGGUACCAAACAACAUCAACAGAGUAGAGGAAUUACAUAUGAUACCAAUAGAACCUCAAAGAAAUGCUUAGCGGUGAAAACUGCCUCUAAAAUACUAACAUUAUUGUCAAUAGGCACCAGGGACCCCAUCGAGAUAUCAAUAGUUUAAGAAAAUACCGAAGUACCUGAAUAUGCAUCAACAGCUGUUCUUGUCCCUCAACAUUUUGCGCAAUUUCUUGACAAAUAUGAUCAUACUUUGCAAUUUCCUUCCUAUAGAGAUCCUCAUGCGAACCAGUCGACGUCAUCAACUUUGGUAGUAUGUCAUCCUGAGCCACAAAAAGAUAAGCACAAGUCAAAAGUAACAUAACAUUAGCAUGAGAACAGCAUGACAGAUAGAAAUGACCACCCUCCGCAUAGAUGUUUAAUUGUAAUUUUCAGAACUACAAUAAUUUCUCAGCUUAUAUCAGCAUAAGGGAAGUUAUAAAUAAGAGAAUAUGGCACUAGAGUAAUACAAGUCAAUAAAUAAAGAUGAUCUCACUAAUUAUAUCUAAGCUAAUGGGAGGCUAAUCUAGUUACUACAUUUCUUCUUGGAUAUAAACAGGAGACUUAUACUUUGGCACUUGAAAACAAGUUCACUAGAAAAGUAUACAAGAAAGAAUUUCUGUUAAGGAAUGAAUUCACCAGUAAGCAACAAAGAGACUGGUAACAGUAGGCAGAACUCUAACAGAAAGAUAAGUGAAAGCAGCAUGGCAAAAGAAGACUUCAAAUAGUUGAUAGUUCAGAACAAUAUCUGUUCAAAGAUGGUCUAAACAGCUAAACAAAUUGAAUAUGAGCGAGUUAUCCUCUGUACCUUCCUCUUCAUCUCUUUUAGCAUGUCUUCAAGACCUGCCCUCUGAGCACCAAGAGUCUCCAAUUGCCUCUGCAAAAAGAGCAAGGUUGCAUUUAUAGUUUCAUGGGAAAAUUAGUUCGGUGAUACAGUCAAUCAGAGUCUUUCAAAGUAGAAUUGAUACUUCACGCAAUAAAAAGGGAGAUGUAGCUUCUUUCAUCAUGAAAACUUUCAUUUGACUUUUUUUCCACCUUGAAACAAAUAGAAUGACAGAUGCACUUAUUUCACAUGUAGUUUUACAAAGAAUGAUUUCAAAAGACCACAAAGUAGUACCGACAACUUCUUCCUUCCUUGUCAUUGUUAUAUUCAUAAUAGAAUGAUGUUUUUAGUACUCCAUUAUACUUUCUCAGUCUACAAACCAAUACAGUGAUCCCAAAUUCUUAAGGAUCCAUCUGUAAACGAAGUCAAAGAGAAAUUGACAGACUUAAUAAGACCAAAGAGGUGUAUCUUGAAAAGCUGAUUCUCCUCAGCAUCAUAUUUUAAAUUCUUUAUUCAUUUCAAUCACAAUGAAAAAACUUCAACGUGAACAUGCCCUAUUGCCUAACAGAGAUUAGAAGAAAUUAGUGAAGUUCCAAAGGUCAAUUUGUUGACAUGAAUUGCAACUAAAUAUAUGUCCAGAAGACUUAAUAAUCUUCAAAAAACACAACAAAUAGAUUUUACACAUUACUAACUCAGAAUUAAAACACAAACAAAACCAACUUACCAAGCUCUGUUUCAGGGCUCCCACUACAGCAUCUUCAUUUGCAUCUAAUGACAUUAUGGGCCUUGACAGCGAGGGUAAUGCAGAUUCAAUCUACCAAAGAUAAAAUGCACAGAAAAGAAUCAAAUUCCUGUUACUUCACAGAAAGUGCUCAAAGAAAAACUCGAGCAUUAGAAUUAUGGGUCCAUUCUAAUUCUUAGUAUUAGAUUUUGCUUUUCACACCCACUUCCAGCUUCCAAAAAAAAAAAUACCUCUCCAGACUUGAUUUGAAGAUGAUAAUUCUCCUUCAUAGAAUUUCUAAACAUAUAAAUCUUCAGAUGUUACAUGACCUUUUUCACUAAUCACAUUUUUUCCUGUCCAUUAAAAUUAAGGCAAGAACAAGAAGCAACAGAUAACUAAGCACUUGCUGCAAAAAGGGGAAAACUAAUAAACAUCAAUUCAGACAUAAUGCAGUUCCAAUUUCAAAGCCAAGCAGCCACACAACACUCCUUAUGGGAAACAGAACAUAGGAAUUUAUAAGCUCAAUAUUAACCUAACCCCUAGCUAAAUAUCCAUGAAAUCAGAUAAAAGAUUUAUAAAAUCAUGCAAGUGGCUAAAGGAACUUCAGUAUUACCAUCAGAGUAAUUAAAACUGCACAAACUUCAAAACCAUUAAGAGAGGGGGGGGGGCUACUGAAGGAUUUCCAAGCCCAUAAAAGAUUUCAAGCAAUAUAUCAAUCAUACAGCAACCGAAGUCAUACAAAUUAACCUAAAUCAAAUAAAGAAGCAUACUGGGCGAUGAUCAAGGAUUGACAUUAGUGCCGAAUGAUCUCUCACAGAUCGCUCUAUCCGUCCAUCACUUUCUGCUGCCUGCUUCAAGUUCGCAGCAAACCUAUUAAGCCGAUCUAGCAAGUUCUUUGUUAAAGUACUAGAUUGUGGUCUAGUCCACCGUGUUCCAAAUUGGCUUCUGAACUGUGCAUCUUCUGUUGCCUCUUUUUGCAGGAGCUCCUCUGUCUGCACCAACAAUUCUUGGUCCACCCUCCUCAAAUCUUUAAGUUGCUGUAACUCACCCUCUAAACCAGCUGGGCCCCCACAAACUUGCACAGCCUCUACAUCUUCUUUAAGAUCUGUUGGAAGAGUGGAAUUCCCUUCCAAAGCAAGAAUAGAAUCGGGUAAGUCCAUCUCCUUCAGCCUCACUCGGGCUAGCUCACUUGCCUGUUGUAAUUUCUCAGCUUGCAUCCUGAUAAUGUCAUCAACCAUUUCUGUAUAUCUUGAAAGAGAUUUUGCACUGCUAUCAGGAACAAGCCUCACAAACAUUUUCUCCUUGCUUGCAUCCAACACCUCAUUCAUUGGCAUAGGCUUCACCAAUGAAAAAGCAGGAAGUGGCGGCAAAGAACUGGCAGUAGGAACCCUCAUUAAGUAGACUCUUUCAUUCUCCUUCACAGCCCUCUCCAAGUUGCGGUUCAGGGUUGAUUCUAAUUUGGUCAUUGCAUCCAGAAGCUGCUGAGCUGCCCCCCUUGGACAUGAUUUCUUUGCCUCAGUCAAUGCAGCAACCCCACUCUUCAAACGGGCAAUCUCCUCAGCUAUCUCUUCCUUCUCAUGGAGCUCCAAACUGUACCUGUAGCAAGCCUCUGCAUAAAACAAGGCUGCUUUAAGCUGAACAUGAGCUAGCCAGUUCUUAUCAAAGUGCUGGUUGAGAGGUGCAACAUUCAGAGCUGCCAGACCCUCCUCAUAAUAUAGUCCAACCUGUAACACCACAACAUGCGACCUCAACUUUGCAGUCAUUGCCAAUUAUGUGAACCCAAAACAUGUGAACUAUAGUAAAGUAACCAUUUUCUAUCAAAAGAAUUUACGUAUUAAUGGACAUACUAAAUUAAGAACAAUCUGCAAAUAUCCAGUAAUGGCACACAUUCAAUAAUAAGAUCAUUAGUAUAUGGGCGACAAAAACAGUCAUUAUGAAUGGAAAGAAUAAAAAAAUUGGAAAAGUUCUCAAGUUUCACCAGGUGUAAGGACAUAUGGCAUUCAUAUUAUUGAAGAAUCAAGGUCAAUGUAAUCUUUUGACUGAACAGAUCAAAAGGUGAACAAUAAACCAAUAUGCAAAACUUGAAUGCCUUUGUAUAGCUCCUUUUUUUAUUCAAUUGACCAAAAAAAGAAAGAAAAAUUCCUCUAAUGGGGACAUUUUCCAGUCUAUUCUUCUUGCGUUUGUUCAGAAAGAAUUCCAUCUGCUGAAGCAUUAUUUUAGUGACUGAUAAAUCGUUAGCAUUUGCAAUACCUGUACUUCGAAAUAGUUUCAACAAGAAAAAUACCGAAAAAGAGAAAGACCAAGACAUAGAUGGUCUCAGUUUAGUUACAAAAGGAAAGUCACUGCAACCAAGGUUAUUGAGCCAAAAUCACCAGUUAUACGUUAUUGCAAAAUCUUUAGCAAAUUUGCACACCAUACUUGUAUAUCAAAUAUUUGGACAGCCAAAUUUCAAAUAAAAGGUAGCUAAGCUCCCAAAAAUCCCUAAAUACCUGUCUGGAAAUCUUUGCACAAACCCCAGGAGUGUUGCCCUUGGCAAUAGUAUUCUCGAAAACACACUCCUGAGCCUGAGCCAACAUCAGUCUCUCCAGCAUUCCAACACACUCCACUGACACAUCCACAGAUGUUGAGCUACCCAUUGAUGCCUUCAUUGCCACAUUAUCCCUCAAAAAGGCAAAUGCACCAGCUGCUGCUAUAAAAGCAUGAGAUGCCUGCUUUCGCCCAUCAACCCCUGAUCGGUCAAAACUCAGCCCCAUUUGACUAUGGACUGCCCCCAAAUUAAACAACACUGCAGCUUUUUCUAAAUAAUAACCCAAAAAAAAAAAUUUGAUGGAAUGCCAAUUAGUAUGCUACAACUCGCAAGUAAAAUACAAAGCUUCUAUAGAAAAGUCAGAAAUGAGUAAGAUUAACUGAUGGACAAGUCUGCCAAAGACUCGUACCAACCUCCAGAAUAAGAAUAGCAUAACAUAUUCCUUCAAUUCUGCCUAAAAAAUUGUACCUUGCCCUAAAAUCCCAAUCAAAAAGUAAAAGAUAAAAUCAAUCUUUUCAAGAACACUUAACGCACUGUACUUUCUGUAUGCUCUGAUCAUACGAGAAACAAGAAGACCAGAAACAAUUUCAUUUUAUUGUACAGAUUAUCUAUAGUUAAUCCCCUCACAAGAACCAAAACUAAUAUAAAAAUAUGAAAACCUAAACAAAAGUUUGGUAUCCCUGUUUCCUAGCAAAUAAAGAUCAACAUAGAUUUCCCCAAGAGAAAAGGAGUAUAAAAUGUCAAUAUUUUGCCAAACUAAACAACACUACUGAGUCAUUGCAUCUUACACAGAACAUAUUGUAGCACAGCGAAAUGCAAUCAAUCAAACAAGCAAAACAAUAUUUACCUAACUCAAAACAAUAAAGUACUAAAUGACACUACAGAAUACACCUAAAGCAUUGACGGAAUGUACCAUAGCAAAAUCGAACCAAUCCAAAACAAACGAAAAAAAAAAUUGAAAUUUUACCUAAAUGAAUAUUUUGCUGGGCAGCUUUCUGUUUAUUUUUGAACGCAUCAAACCAAGUGAACGUGACCGUACUAAUAUGGUCUUUAUCGGGAGAAAUAGGGAACCUCGACUCCACAGCGCAAAGAGCUCGAUAAUACUUCUGGAGAAGAUCACGCCGCGCCGGGAGAGAAUCGGCCGGAGUAGGGCCACGUUCCAUGUCGGUUCGAAGUUCCUUGAGGGUUUGGAGAUCGUCCUCCAAGUUCUGAGCCUCACGUUCGCCGUAAUUGAUCACUAUGUAGUUCCGCAACGGACGGUAAAGGUCUAAAGAGUUGGUCUUCUUCUCGUAUAUUGCUAGCAUGAUGUUUGUGGUUGCUGCAGCCGUUGACGACGACGGAGACGCCAUGAUCGGCAGUGGUGGGAUAAAUAUUAAGAAUUUCGAUUAAAUCCGGCUCCGCAAUUCUAUUUAUACUGAUUUUUCUGUAGAUAGAUUAAAUUGAUUGAGAAAAUUGGUAGGAUUGAAGUCAAUGGGAAGGUGUGUAAAUUGGCCCCCCGCGGGGUGUUUUGGGGCGUGUGGGAGGUGUUUUGCUUAGUUGGAAAGUAAAGGACAAAACCUUGGGGGAUUUGUGGGGCAAAAUUGAUAAAAGUGAUUAGGAAAGUGAUUAGGGGGCAAGGUUUUGUUCAACUAAGAGUUUAGGGGUUUCAGUGUAAUAUACUUGAUAACAAAAUUAAAAAAUGAAAGAGUUCUAAAUAUAAUUGCUGUUUUAACCUUUUAUUUUUACCAAUAAUCCUAUUUUAAUUUCUAUAUCUUCUACUAAUUGUUAACAUUACUAUGCUCACUUGUUGAAAAUAUAUCAAUUAGAUCACUUGUAGAAUGAUUUAAAGUGGAUAGCCAAAAUAGUCUACAUUAAUUUAUUGUAGCAUAUACGACUUGGUUUGGAUUUUUUUUAUUAGGAAAACUUUAAGAAAAAUAUUAUUAUUGCACUUUUUUUUUUUAAAAAAAAAAGAGGUUCUAUGUAAUAAAAAGUUAAUUGUAAAACAUGCUAAAAGAUUUUCUUUUUUUUUGUCAAAAAAACUUGAAUAACCAAUAUAUUUUAGAUAGAAAUUGAGAAUCAAGAAAAACUUAUUUUAUUUUAUACGUUAUUUAUAAGAUUAUAAGACGUCCUUCAAAAUCUUGAAUUAACCAAUAGUUAAAAAAAAUAAUAUUUUAAAUAAUAUUUUAGAACAACAAAUAGUGGAAUGAAUACUAAAAUAUUAGUCAAAAGAAAUUUAUACACUAUGAAACUAUUUGAAUCAUAACUUCUACGUCUUGGAAUCUCAACCUUAAUGCCUCCUUAAUUACGUACAAAAUAGACAAAAAGAUGGGGAGGCAAAAUAGAACAACUCAGAAGAAUGAGGGCCAAAACAUUAGUUCACCAAACUUCGGAGAAAAAUCCUAACCGGGUUCCGAGUAGUAACAUAACAUUGCAAGGCUGGCUGACCGGGUUAGCAGUAGCAGAGGAAUCCGGUCCAUGAAUUAAGAAACAGCAGAAAACCGCGUGGAGUAACACCCACGCAUAUUCUUUCUUGUUCUCAGGUUCUAUAAAGAUCCGGUGAACCCCUAUUUGGUCGAACUCUCUAGAAAUCCUUUCAGAUUGGGCAGCAGCUGCUCAGAUUUCGAAGGUUGAGAUAACGCCGCUUUUCAAGAUUUCACAGCUAAAUUCAAAUCUUCUUGUUAGCCUUAGGUAGCCGUCUCAGAUCUCUCCUUCUUGCUGUUCAUCCUUUGUACAACUAACCAGGUAUGUGACGAAUUUUAGUUUUCGCCAGUUUUUCUAUCUUUGUAUCUGAUUGGAUUGAGUGUUUGUCUCUCGCUCCUAAAUGGGUUUUAAUUGUUAUUUUAUGGGUUUCUCUUAUUUUGUACUCAUUCAAUAUGCAUACGAAGAAAUUUUAGUGUUUAUGCCUAGGCCCUAGGGUUUGUUGCUGCUGUUUGAUUACUUAGUGUAGUGGCUAUACAACAAGGCUGGAUGGAUUUUGAGUAGAUGAAUUUUAGCUGGAAUAUUGAGUUCUUGAAGAUGAAAAGUAACAAGGCUGGAAAUAUUUAUAGCUAGGUGAAUUAAAUUUUCGAAGGUGGUUAUUAUGUUUCCUUUUUGGUUGUUAGAUUUAAUCGUGGCUGAAGUACAGUACUUAGUAUCCGGUUCAAAAUCUUUUUUUUUUUUUUUUAAAUUUGUGAAAAUUAGUUGCUGAGAUAUAAAGCUUCAUGUGAAUUAUGGAUUGGCUGCAGACUUCUUGGAAAAAAGGAUUGGAAGUGAAGAGACAAAUUUUAGUUGGGCAUUCAAGAUUGUGACUUUCUUAUAGUAUUAUAUUGUUAUAAGGUAAGAAACCCGACUCGGAUUUGUACAGUCUCUUUCUUUGCAUUCUUUUGUCAUGUUUAUAUAAUUUCUCUGCAUGUGUAGUAUUUUGUUUAUUACUGAGAAGCUGGAUUUGUAUUACUUUCUGCCAAAUUUCAUGAAAUUCUCUAUGAAUGUUAAAAAAAAACUGUAGUUUUUUUGGUGCCAAUGAAGCAAAUCAAUUGCUGCAGUUGUCAUGCCCUAUGUAAAUUUUGAACCUGGGAAAUGUUUGUUAAAGAGAAUCUCUUAUUUUCAUGUGUCUCAGAUGAUUGUUAUAGAGAAUCUCUUAUUUUCUUGUGUAAGAUACAGUCAACAAAAGUGUAGGACUUCAUGUGGUUGAUACUUGUUUAAUACCAAUAACAUUGAUGAUUAAAUAUUUGGCUUAAAUUAUGUACAAAUGCUUUCAACCAAUGUUGUGUUGGAAUAUACGUUGAAUUGGUUUCUGUUGUAACCCUCCAAUUCCUGUCGCUAAUAAGACUAUUAAAGCUUUCUAAGAAAAACAAUGAAAGUCUUUUUUCUGAAUGAGCUCACCAGUCUCUUUAUCAAUUAUGGUGGACCCUGCAGCUUUUUAGGGUGUGAAUUAAGUUGCCGAACAAUCUGCCAGGAAACCAGCCUCAUAAUUUGCGAAUGACAUGUUUAGGCGACUGAGUAUACAAUCUGUAUGAAUUAUUUGUUGUGUGCUCUCCAGAAAUGAUUAUGUCUUAUAGUGUCUUUUAACCCCACCUUGACGUGCUUCAGUUGAAAGGUUUUCUUGUUUCUUUCUUAAUUAUGUUUUUCUUAGUGCUCUGUUUAGAUUUUCUUUGCAAUAUACAUUGAAAGAAGUUUUUUCUUAAUAUCUGAGCUGUUCAAAAUGUAUUUAACUACCUCAUUUUGCUCCUACAAAGGGCGUUCUUCCUUUGUGCCGAGAAAACAUUGUAAUUUUUAUACCAAUUUUGCCUUCUAGAUUUCUGCACCUUCACUUCACCACGCGUUCCACUUUUAGCCUCCAAUUUUCCAUCUUAGAUGGUUCAGAAUCACUCAAAUCUUGUGUGCUGAAAAGAGAAUUCUCUGUUUGCUUCCAAAAACACCUAAAAGGUUGUGUAAGAAGAAGUUUGCACAUGGACAGCUUACUAAUUGCUUAAACCAGUAAAAUAACUUUCACUGUGCAGAAACUAGUCUUCGAUUGUAGAGUUUCUUUGAGGGGAGAAAGACAUAAAAACAAUCAAAGAUAUCUAUCAUAUAUCUGCCAGAGAAACAUACGGCUUUGCUAUGUUGUACUUCCAUUUGUCUUUUCUGAAACAAUCAAAGAUAUCUAUAAAUUUGCUUCUCAUGCUAGUUGUUGUUGAUCAUCUCUUUCUUGACUGAUUUCCUGGUGGAGGAACUAACAUUGUUUCUUUCUCUUUUUGAGAUGUACUUCUGGUCAUCAUCUCAUACCAAAAUGCAGGUAUUCAGUUGUAUUUUAUAUCAAAAUGGAUGCCAAGAAGUUUAUCCAGCUGGUCGAGGAGAAGAAGAAGCGGAUGAUGGAGAGGAAAGAAGCCCCUUUGAAAUGGGAGCAAAAAUUGGAAGCUGCAGCCAAGGCUAGAGCUGAUGCUGAAAAGGAGAGAAAGAUGAAGGCCACUAAGCACAAGAAAAGAUCUGUACCAGGUUCUGAAAGUGAUUGUAGCAGUGACAGCAGCAGUGAUGAAAGGAAGUCAGCUAAAAGGCCCCACAGGAAGCAUAGGAAGCAUAAUCACUCUGACUCAGGCGAUAAUGAGAAGAGGAGGGAUAAGAAAUCCAGACAUAAGUCGAAAAGGAGAUCCUCUGACUCUGGUGAUGAUAGCAGUGGAUGUGAUACUGAUUCACAAGAAGAGAGGAGGAGAAAGAAGCAGAGGCAGAAAAGGCGAAGGCAUCAUGAUUCAAGAUCAGAUUCUUCUGGUGCUGAUUACUCUGAUGAUGAAAGUGACAUUGAUAUGAGAAGAAGAAAUCGCAUAAAGAGUCACAAGCGCCAUCGGAGAUCUCAUUCUAGUGAUUCAGAAUCUGCAUCUGACGAUGACUAUCCAGGCAGAAAGAGAAACCGUGCAAGGCACCACAAACGUUCUAGACGAUCAGGUUCAAGUGAUUCAGAUUCAUCAAGCGAUGAUGACACUCCAAAGAGGAGCCGUCAUGCGAAACACCAUAAGCAUCAUCGUGGAACCCGUACUCAUGACUCGGUGUCCUCAGAUUCUGAAGAUCAUCGUCGUGACGGGAGUAGAUCUCUAGGGAAGUCAUCUGAUGACGAUUUUGGUAAAGUAGAAAAGCAGAAAAAGCAUCAUCAUGGACAUGGUCGUCACCACCACCAUCAUCAUCAUAACAAUCACAAUCGCAUCCACUCUGACGAAACGCCACUCAAUGAUCAGCAGGCUGGGAAAGCAACAGAAUCAAAUGGAAAAAAUACUCUGCGAGAGGCAAAUAUGGACAAUAGCCAUGAUAAAGCUGUUGAACAGCAAACUGCUUAAUGGUCCGAGUGUGCCUUCCAAUGGAUUCAUGUGCGCUGUUUCUGUGUAGGUAACUUAGGGUUUUCUGGUUGGUGUUGCUGGAGGCUUGGAAUCUGGAAUUUGUCAAAGAUUAUAUGUUGAACUGCUGCAGCAAAAACCUUUCUGAUUGACAUUUGAAUUUACUGAUUCCGUAUAAAUAUGUAACAGCUUAUCAGCAAUUUAUUCCCUCUCUUUGCUGUGUGGAACAUUUAUUUUAACAAACUGUAAUGGAUGCGUUUAGAUUGAACAAUCAACCAUCUCAUGCGAAUGUCUAGUUGCUGUUUGGUUGGCAUGCCUUGUAUCUUCAUUGAUCAGGCCUACAUUUCUUAACAUGUUCAAAAUCUUUAUUCAUUCAUGUUUAAUAAAAUCUCAAAUGAUACAAAUUUCUUUCGUAUUCCGUGAUCAACGUGACAUGAAUUAGCUAAACCUCCAUACAGGUCUGGGAUGUUUGAGCAUAAAAUUAAUUACUAAUUGCAAACCCCACCAGGUUCGUUGCAGUGUGGUUGAGGAGGUAUGAAUUUUGAAGGGUAUCAAGAGACGGACCAAUAGUUUUUUUUUUUUUGAACUCAGAGACGGACCAAUAGUUAAAAGCUAUAAAAUACAUGAAAGUAAUCACUCACUAGAAAGCAUCCUAGAAGCGUAACAGUAACUACACACUAACUGUUGGGUCUUGGCCAAAGUGGGCACUGAGAAGAAACAGGCUGGCGUAUAACAAAUCCAGACAUUAUUCUCUGAAGAAUACAUAUCGAACUACAGCAAUUGAUAAGGAAGCACGUAAUGGUGCACGUCAAGUAUUAAUACAAAAUUUAGUGUAUCAUAACUAAGGCAUCGAUGCUUUUGCCCACUUACUUCUGCUCCUUAAACCUCUAGAAUGCCUAACUCUUAAUCAAGACUGCCACGUUCACCUUAAAGCUGAACCACUGAUAGGAGUUGUACUCAGUGAAGGCAGUGCUAAUUAGCUGUUGCAACCCGUACACUCUCAAAAUUGCAAAUAGUGGAGUCAUUUUGCGAUCAAAAUUCAAAUGCUGAGUCAUUUAUACUCAGCAAGAUAAAAUGAAUGGAUAGUACUGACCACUAGGUAAAAAUAAUACAACAAAUACAGCCCACAAAAAUUUAUUAUCAGAAGUUCUUUAAGAUCUUCUCUGCGGAGACUCCAUCAGCGACAAGAAGAGAAGUAACCUCCUACAAGAAACAAGAUCAGAGAUCCUUAGUUUGCUUUCUUAAUGCAAAUGGAAGAAGAUGCCUACUUAAUGCAAAUCAAGAAAUAUCUAAGUGGCCAUAGUUUACACUUCUGGCACGCCAGUUACCUAGAAGAAGAGAAUUUUCAUCUUCUUAAUUGUAAGGCAGUAAUUCCAGUCAAGUGCUUAAACAAGUUUACUUUUUAAAUCAACCUUCUUUUUUUGGGUUUUUUCUGGGUCUCAAACUUCUACAAUAAUCUCUCCAUCUUCACAAGUCAGAUUAUAUUUGUUCAUCACAUCCAUGAUAAGAACGUGUUCCUAAAUCUGUUGGGCAUGACCACACUUAGUAGUUGUUCCAACACCAGGUGUCAACAACCAACAUAAAUAACGGAUGUUAAAAACACUACAAAUAAUUGCUUAAUAGCCUAUUUCUUCACGACAAGGUCAAAUCUAACGACAGUAGAACUCCAAAAUACCUCAGCCAUUGGCUUCUGUCCACACAGAACUGCACCUGUGGAUUGCGGGCUAAAAAUCUUUUUCGCCCUAGCAAACGCAGCCUGCAAAAGCAAUCUUAUCAGGAUAUGGGAAACAAAUUUCAAAAAGCAAAGAAAAAUUGAGCUACUGGAAAUGAGCAGUAAAACUGUGAAUACAGAAUGUCUCAUCAAGGCAAAAUCUGAGCACAAAAACGUCAUCACAUUAUGACAUGUUGAAUAAGCUCAUACCUGGACAUAUCCCUGCUCCCCAGUCCAAGUCUGAUCAGGCUGAGAUAGUACUGGCACGAUUUCCACUCCAGACAAUUCCCACUCUUUAAACCUAUCCUGUAGUGAAACAGAUAAAAGCUUUCAUUUUGGGAAAUUGAAGGGAGAAUUGUUGUGUUUUUUGCUUUGCUUUAAUUUGUGUGUGUGUGUGAGAGAGAGAGAGAAAGAGAGAGAGAUGGUAUUCAAUGCCAAGAACAAAACCUGAUAAGCCAUCCUCUUAAGAUUCCUGGCGCCAUAAUAGAGUCUAACAUCAGAUCUCUUAUCAGCACCGAAUCCAGACUCGAUCAAGGAUCGAAUUGAGCUGCACUCCAUUAGUAGGGAGGAAGGAGUUGAUUAUACAGAACAGAAAUAUAAAUAUUAAUACUCAAUUUACCAGAAAAUGAUAACAGGGGCAAUUCAUUUUCUACUCAAGAAAUUCUUAUUUUGAACCAAUUGACCAGACAUGCUGUAUUUGCAAUUUGAGUCCAGCACUAAUCUCAUCCACUUCUAACGCAUAAGUUUGUUCACUCGCUACUAUUUCUCUUGAUUCUUUUCUUCCAUAUCAGGCCAGUAUUGGCUGUAUGUUAGUCACUAUGAAUGAAGACAAGUUUUACCUACAAUUAUUGUUUUGGAGAAUAAGAAAAAGACAAACUUACCGUCAGACAUAUACAUCUAAAUCCUCAAGGACCAAUUGUCUCAAAACCAUUCCAAAUAUGGUAUACAAAUACAUAGUCUUAUUUUCUCUAGCAUUUAAAUAGGCCUGCUAAUUUCAUGGCUGACGAACAGUUCAGUGAGCAAAUUAGCAAAUAAACUUGACUAAGCUUGGAAUCUGUCUUGAACUACAUCUUCUGGCAGCUUGAACAUGCUCUACUGUGUAAAACACAAACAGUCAAAAUAGUCUAAAAUUUACCAACCCCAUAAAAAGUUAAAAGUUUAUUAAUUACAAUCAUACCAUGUGCUUAAUUAGUGAGUAUAUAGGAGGAGGAACAGUUCACAAGAAACUGAUCAACUAACAAAUGGUUCGCAAAAAAAAAGCUGAUUUUGAAGAUCAGAAAUCAGAAAACUUUCAAGCAAAUAUAAUCAAAGGCUCAAUGCCCCCAUAUCAGUAAAGUUCAAUACAAGUAGAUAUCAAGAAGAAGCAAAUAUUGCUUUUAGAUGCAUGCAAAAACACACAGCAUUUUAACAUGAGAAAAAUGUGCACACAAGGGAAGGGAACCCCCCCCCCCAAAAAAAAACAUCAGUACACACACACACACACUAAGAGGAAGAAGAUCAACAAAAACCUUACUUAGAAGCAUGUGCAGACAAAGCAAAAAGAAACAAAUACAAAAUCCAGUAUCUGAUUUUCUUUCCAAAUGUUGAAAUUAGUUGUUUACUCUUAUACUAAAGUAACAUGCCAAGCACUCAAAAGCAUUGGAAUCACUUCAACUCCCUUUCUUUCUUCACAACCGAAGCCUGCAGCCCGACUAUUUUUACCCCAUCAUGUUGUCCCUAGCUCUCUGCUAACCAACCCAACCAAAAUGUUUGACACAAUCCAGCAUCUAUCUUCUCCUAGCCAACAAAAAACAAACCCAGGCCUUUGACAAUUAUAACUGAAUUAACAGGAUUCUUGCAGCCCAAUAAAAAAUGGGAAAAGGUUUUUCCUAAUUAACUGGGAGUCUAAGAAUCUUCGAAUUGCCUAAUCCCUAUUGUGAAGUAAAUAACAGUGCGUCCAAAGCUCACAUCAAAAAAUAUCUCACAAAGGGAGAGAAGACUAUAGACAGGCGAAGCAUUUUUUUUUUUUUUUAAUAAACAGGCCAAGCUUUGUUCUUUGCAAUUGAGAUCAUACUAACUAAUUAGGAACUGCACCGUGCAUUGUGAUGUUUCUUCCAAUAAACUUACAGCUCCAAAUUCAAACUUUCUGAAUUUACAGUAGAUAUAAAAAUUUAAAUAGUGAUUUUAUCUGUUUUUCCCAAUUUUUACCAUAAUAUGAAAUCAGGAAUUGGAAAUUUUUUAAGAGAAGCUCUAAUAUUACCUGAUUCCAGAUCCAGUGGCGAAAAUAAGCACCGUCUUGUAAUCCUGCGGAGGAGAAAUUUGAUCAAUUUCGAAACCUUUCCCCAUGGCCGGAGUCAACUCCACCACAUCACCUUUUUGGAGUCCACAUAGGAGCUCAGCGGUAGAGCCGGCGACGCUUUUAACUAGGAAUUCAAAAACACCUUUAGCAGCGGCCAAGGACGGUGGCGAGGCAAUGGCGAGAAAAGACGGUUUCUCGGAGACGGGGACUUUAAGCUGGAGAUACUGGCCAGCCUUGGUAUAAGAAGCGGCGAGGUCAGGAGAAUCGGAGACGUCGAUAGUGACGUUGAAGAGCGAUUCGGCGGCGGGGGAGACGGUGAGAAGAGGCGCAGAGGUCCAAGCGGUCGUGUCUUGCCGGACGGCGGCGGCGGCGGAAACGGAGAGUUGGCGGCGGAAAAGGUGGAAAAGGAGGGGUUGGGGUUUUAGUCUGAGGAGGGUGGUCAUGGGAAAUGAUUGACUACGACAGGGUGCAUGGGAACGUAUGCGAGGAAGACGCGGGGUUGGAGUUGGGGAGAGAGUGAUUAAGGACAUUUUUCUGGGUUUUUAAGGUAAAAAGAAUAGUAAGCACUUUAGUUUGUUGUUUGAGCUGGUCGUGGAGGAGACUAGUAAGCUCCGCCGCCGCAAAGGGUGGUGGGACUGGGAAGAAGGGAACUGGCCUGUGGGCUGUGGGUCAAAAUACGCCGCGAGCUCGAUGCGCCGGAGUAAUUGGGAGCUUCCACGUGGCAUUUCUUGAUAAGUAGCGGGCCCUACCAGUUGCUCCAAUUUUGCAGACGCCAGAACUAGAAGCGUAAAUAAGCACGGACAGAUCACUAGAUCAGUAAAAUGAAGCAUGGAAACAGAAUUACAACCUACGUUGGAAAUUUACCUCAUCCGAGGAGGAGAUUAUCAAACACUUAUUUUGGAUAAAAAGAUUGAUUAGAAGUGAAACGUCUUGGCCUUCUAUAUCAUACUGGAUAAAGAAAACAACAUUUCCAUAAAAAAUUGAUUAAAAGUGCAACAUCAUUUCAAAAACAUCAGCAGCACCUUUAUAGCUUCAAAUGCAGUCAACACAGGAACAGUUACUUUAACAGAAAUUUCGUCCCAGGUUGAGAUUUGUUCCAACAGCAGAUCAUUACAGUUUGUUCCAAUCCGGGUUUCCGCGACAGUUUCAUGCCUAAGCUGUAAAAAACAGAUGUAACCGCAGGCCAUUAAAGUUUGUUUCAAAUCGGAUCAUUUGCACACCCCAUUUGCCCAAAGAGCUAAUGACAGAGAAUACUUUUGUGCUGGAAAGCUGGAUCAGAUCAUAGAGCCAAGUUCUUUGCACAUAAAAAUUUCAUAAUUUUCACUCCUGCUUCGAGUACACAAGAUUGAGGAAAAGGGGAAGAAAGUGAUUCAGAAAAUUCCAUGGCUGGUGCUCAAGUGUUUCUAACAUUAAAUUCAGAGGCAAAAUAUACAUGUCCGCCACCGCCCUUAUUGUAUGACAAGACAAGGCAUAAGGGGGCUUUAGCAGGGAGGGCCUUGCACUCUCCGGCUCCAUGUCCGUCACAAUCCCACACCUUCAGUUGAUAUAUAAAACAGAAACACAAAAACCUGGACUCCUCAGUUCCCCAAAAACCUCAAAAUAUAACUCCUGAUCUUGGCCAAAGCCAGAAAUUUAAAUUAUUGAUUUUCGGAAUUAUCAGUUAAAAAGGGUGUAAAAAAUAAAAAGUCACUAAAAUUCCUUAUGCUGCAGAUUCCUUGGCAAUCUUCUCAGCUUUAGCAAUGACCUCCUCAAUGCCACCAACCAUGUAGAAUGACUGUUCUGGAAGAUCAUCGUAGUUUCCAUCCAAAACGCCCUGUAGAAAUCAACAAGCAGAAAUACAUCAGCAUAUCAUUUGAAUUCUCUGAAUAAAUAGGAAAAGUCAAAAUAGCCAGAGGGGCCAUAAUGGUAGGUAAAAUGAUGCAAAUGAUUGUUCUUAGACCAAUCAAAUUACAUCUGCAGUUGGAUAGCUGAAGCAGAAACCCAAUGUUUCUAAAUUUCACAUAGUUCACGAAAACUAGGAUGCAGAAGAAAAGCUUUCACAAUUAGCACCAAAGAAAUUCAUGCUUUGACAUUGUCAGUUAAAAACAUGGGUCAUUGUACCAUCAAAAGUUUAUAUAGGAGUUAAGACAUAGCAUUGCAAUCAGAAGAAUAUGCUAAAUCAAAUAAAGAAACUGAAGUAAAAAUCUACUCCCAGUUUCUGUUAAUCCAACCUGAGAUUCCCAGGACACCACAUGGCAUAUCUAUAAGUUCAAAAAACCGAAACAUUCAGGUGGAAAGGGACAGUGGCAAAUGUAGUGCAGACCAUACAUGGCAUAAAAUGAAACGAUAUUUACCUGGAAACUGACAAUGCUCUCCUUCAACUCAACAUAUUUUCCAGGGGCACCCGUGAAAACUUCAGCAACAUGGAAAGGCUGACUCAAGAACCGCAUAAUUUUACGUGCACGGGCAACUGUCAAUUUGUCAUCUUCACUGAGCUCAUCCAUUCCAAGAAUGGCAAUGAUAUCUUGCAAAUUCUUGUAGUUCUGAAGGACCCUCUGUACUCCACGAGCAGUGUUGUAGUGAUCCUCUCCCAAAAUGUGUGGAGAGAGCAUACGUGAUGUGGAAUCAAGUGGGUCAACAGCAGGAUAGAUACCAAGCUCAGAGAUCUGGACCAAACAUUAAAUCAUCAAUAAAUGUAAAUUUCCAUGUGGUCUGAAAACUUUUAAGACUUAAAAAAUCCAAUUACCUGUCGAGACAAGACAGUUGUGGCAUCUAAGUGAGCAAAUGUAGUAGCAGGCGCAGGAUCUGUCAAGUCAUCAGCAGGCACAUAAAUAGCUUGGACAGAAGUAAUGGAGCCUUUUCUUGUGGUUGUGAUACGCUCUUGAAGGCCUCCAAGAUCUGUAGCCAAGGUUGGUUGAUAACCGACAGCAGAAGGGAUACGACCCAACAAAGCAGACACUUCAGAGUUGGCCUGAAGAUAUACAAAGUUAAGUUGAAAGUAUUCAGGAGAAGUACAGGAAAAUGACAUGAAUUACAAGCAUGAUCAUGUAUUUCUCUUAAAGGCAGAAUAUAGACUUAGUUAAUAAGGGCCAAGCAGCAAAAACUAGCAUGAAAAUUCCAUUACAGAGGUGCACCCACCUGGGUAAAACGGAAAAUAUUAUCAAUGAAGAGAAGCACAUCCUGCCCUUCAGCAUCUCUGAAGUGCUCAGCCACUGUCAAACCUGUCAAUCCAACACGAGCACGAGCACCCGGGGGCUCAUUCAUUUGACCAUAGACAAGCGCACAUUUGCUUUCAGCCUAGACAUUCAUCAAAACAUCGACACAUUGAUAAACAGGGUUGAUAACCUGAUUAAAAAAUACUAGUCUACAAAUAAUACUAAUGUAUUUACCUGCUUAUCACCAAGCUUAAUAACACCACUCUCCAUCAUUUCCCUAUAUAGAUCAUUACCUUCUCGAGUUCUUUCUCCUACACCAGCAAAGACAGAAAAACCACCUGGACAAGGAAAAAGAGCACAAUGCAAAUGUUAAACUAAGAAAACUAGAAAAUUAACCACUGAAGCCAGCAUAUCUCCUAAAACAACCAACCAUGGGCUUUUGCAACAUUGUUGAUCAGUUCCAUGAUAAGCACAGUUUUUCCAACUCCAGCACCACCAAACAAUCCAAUCUUGCCUCCCCUUUGGUAUGGUGCAAGCAGAUCAACCACCUGAAAGAAUAUUUAAAAGAGGGUAAACUCAUUAUACCUCUCAAACUUACACAGCCUUGACAGUUAAUCAAAUAGAGCAAAUGAAAUUACAUUUUCUAAGGAUAUAGGAUAGGCUUAGGUAUGAAAAAUUGUCAUUGUGGCAUUACCUUAAUUCCAGUAACAAGAAUUUCUUGUUCAGUAGACUGCUCAACAAAGUCUGGAGCCUCGCGAUGGAUUGGCAAAUAGUGUUCAGUUUCUGCACAAGUAUUAGUUGAUUUGUAAGACACAACCCCUUCUAGGAAACAAGCUGCAGUUCACAUCAUGCAAUGGCAAAAAGUUUACUUACUGAUUUCGCCUCUCUCAUCAAUAGGUUCUCCGAUAACAUUUAUGAUUCGUCCAAGAGUAGCUCUACCAACAGGCACCUACCAGUAGAAGGAACUUGUGAAUCAAAAUGGUAUGAUCACCACUUAAAGCACAUCACAACUCGAAGAACUAUAGUAAGGAUAUACCCCAGAAGAAACUGCAGACAUAAAACCCAUUAAAAUGAACAAAACAUUGCACCUAUUUCCGUUAUGAAUAAGAAUUAGUUAGUUCAAUAGCUCAAGAUUCUGACUUUAUAACUAACCAGCAGCAAAUACUUGGAAAAGGUCCCAAACAACAAAACAAGAUUUGCAAUGCCCCAAAAUUCCUUUCCUUUCCCACAAAACCCCUCUCACACGUCAAAACAAUUUUAAGGACUUUUCAAAUAUGACCUUUCAUCUUCCAUUAUCCAUAUUAUAUCUACUACUAUCCACGACAAGCAUAAGGUAACAACUCUAUUCACCAAUCAUACGACCGUCGUCCAAUACAAUCUAAUUUUUUCCAGCUUUCAAGGACCGUCAACUGAUUGAUUUGGGUUUAAGGUUCAGCCACCAAUUGAGACCAUUUCACAUAUCUCCAGUAACUUAACAAAUCGUUUCAUCGCACAUACCAUACAUCCUCACAUUAUCCAAAGCAAAAUGUACAGAUCCUACCCCAAAAUCCACCCAAACCUUCUAAGAGGAUUCAAUUCCCAACCCAAGAUUUCCAGAUCUCACAAUAAAAUAACCCAAAAACCCCUCCAAACUAACCCCAUUUUCAAAAACGAACCCAUAAAACAUCUUCAAAAAUCAAGUCUUUUUCUCAAUAAAUCCAUCACUCACAGUAAUAGGAGAGCCCGUGUUGAGCACGGCCUGGCCACGAACAAGACCUUCAGUACCAUCCAUAGCAAUACACCUAACAACAUUCUCCCCGAGAUGCUGAGCCACCUCAAGCACGAGCCGGAUCUGAUUAUCGAGCACCUCCAACGCCGUCAAGAUCGGAGGCAAUCCAUCCUCGAAUCUAACAUCAACGACGGCACCGAUCACCUGACAAACUUGCCCAAUAGCACCUCGUCCAGUAAAAUCAUCAGUUAUCUUCCCACCAGUUCCGCCGGCCGGCUUAGUGGAAGGAGCGGAAGCACUCGACGAGGCAGCAGCGGAGGUAGCGUAGUGGGCGGCCCGGUUAAGUAAAAAGCCGGCCGGGGAAGGUCUUGUGGAGGAUUUGGCGGCGGAAGUGAAUGAAGAGGAUGUACGACGGAGAGAGGACGUGGAGGAACGGAGGAGUGAGGCAAUUAGCCUCCGAGAAGCCAUGAUGGUGGUGGCGUUAGGGUUUGGUCAAUAGAGAGAGAGAGAAACAGAAAGAGAGAUGAGAGUAGAGUAGAGAAAGAGGAAGAGUGAAUAGGGUUUGAGGAGAAAUGUAUAACUAGCGAGAUUAGCCUGAGAGUGAGAGUGUAAUGAUUGUAGAAAAGUAACCUUGGAGCUGUUUUUACUGCGGUGAAAAAGUGGUAUUCCCCCAGAAUAUUCUCAUUCCCAGAUGAGCUCCUAAAUAUGUGAUUAUGCAAAUACCAUUGGAUAACUAAUUAAGCAAAUUAUUAUUGGAAUAUGAGUUUUAACCACAUCUGGUCCAUGGUUUUAGAUUUCGAGAGCGAAAGAUUAGGAUCACUAACAUACAUUCAGUGUUUAGGUUAGACUAAUUUUGGUGCACGAGUCUUAUGAGAUGUUAUGUGCAGUAAAAAAAUGUCCAAUUAAUUACUUUGAUCAUCUUUUGGUACUAAUAAAAAUAUAUGGUCUAUACAACAUGAUGUUUGCAUAUUACAUAUUAAUUACUUACAUUUAACAUGUAAACUAAAUUAUACUAUAUUGGCAUAUAUAUAUAUAUAUAUAUAUAUAUAUGUAUGUAUAUCACAUACUGCUCUUUAUCUUAAUAUAUAUAUUUGCUUUUAGGGGGGAUUUUGUCCUAGUAAUUCUAAAUUCUAGUGUACUUCAUGCCUCAUGGUCAUGUUUACAAGUUGCCCUAAUAGUGGUCGACAACUUUACAGAAUUUGCAUUGCAAAUUACAAGCGAGAAACAACCAAAUACAGUAAGAUAUCACAAGAUGUCAUCAAUUUUAAUGUAUUCAUGGUUUUUAUGAUAAUGUAGCUUGAGUAUAUAUAUAGAGCAAGCAUAAGAUCAAGAAUAGAAGGAUUUCUUUCGAAGGCAAAAUCUUGGAGGUAUAAAGUUAUUUCCUUGUAGGACUUAAAAGACAAAUAAUCACUGGGCCGGUAACCCUUGCCUCCUACCAAAAAUAUCACAUUUCAGUGGCCUGUCUCCAAAAAAAAUCAGGCGAGUGUGCUGUGCACCCGUCUGAUCCGGUGAUGGUUCAAUUCCCUCCGGCUUAUUCCUGGACCUCCUUAGGCCCGCCUCCUUCCCCUUAGUAUAGGAUAGAUUAGGUUUAUCGUCUCCGAAAAAAAAAAUAAAGACAAAUAGUUUCAGGUCUACAAUUUUUCUUUUUAUCUUAAUCCAUUUAUGCUCAUAUAUUUUAUGGAUUAAUCUUUUAUACACUGACAGUUUAUACAUCAUCAUCAUCAUUAGAUGCAUGACAACUCAUCUGAAUUUAAAUUUUAUUUAUGUGUCAUGCAUGCAUCCAAUGUUGAUAAUAUAUACACUGUCAGUGUAUAUAAAAUUUACUCAUAUUCUAUUUAUUGACCAACGGAGAAAAAAUUGGAUUUAAAUUAUAUCCACUAGUCUAGCGGUAUUGUGAUGAAUUUGUGUUGUGUGUCCAUGAUUGAAAAGAAAACAAUAGGCGAUCUCAUAGUUCGUUUGAGCCAUCUGAACUCUGAAGCAUCAUCCCCUUGGCCAUUGGUUAUUUGGUCGGUAUCUCAGAAAGAAAUAUUCCUCAUUUGAUGGUGCAGAUGACAGGAAAAUCGGCUUCUUCUUUUUUUUUUUUGGCAUUUGAUUGGUUUACAAAGCAGUUGAGAAUUUCAAACUUCUGCAUGCACUUCUUACGCACUGCUAAAGUCACAUCAAGAUUUCAGGAAAAAAAUUCUUGCGCACUUGGAACAAGUUUGGUACGUAGCUAGUAACAGAAGGUUAAAUCCAACACAUUUCAUGAUUAAUCAUUUGCUUUUUCUUUGAUUAGCCUCUAGGAAUGUCUCUGUUGAAUCACAAUAUCUAUUGCAGCAGCAAGGGGUGAAGCAAUCUUGAACAAGUGCUCUGUCUCUUGGAUAAGAUGCUGCAACUUCUUGUUAAGGGAACAAGUUGUGAGACUGAUUCAAUAUCAACUUCUUCAAUCCUUUAUGUCAAGCAAUUUGCAGGCCCCCCCCCCCCCUAAUAUACUCUAGAGUCCAGCCAUAAGACUCGAAAGAUUUUCUAAUAGAAACAUGACAUGAUGGCUGCUUAUCCAUUUUCCUCGAUCAUCCCAGAAUAAGUCUAGCCUCUCUUGGGCUGCUUUUAGCAGCACCAUCCGUUUUCAAUUUCAGUGUACCUAGAGGAGAACGAGACCAAUUAACUAACGUGGGUUCAUUAAUAAAAGCAUUGGAAUGAUUGGAAUUAAAAGCUUUACAGUUCUAGCAAAGGUUAGUUUGCUAUCCAUGUGUACUCAACAAUACUAGGAAUUAUAAAGAUACAGUGCUCUAAGAGAAGGCCUGCUGGAUUUGCAUAGCUGUUGCCCAAAUAAUCAGGAAGAGCUCUUUUGGGAUUAGGAUACGCAACUAGAGGAGACCUUUCCCAACUCUCAGUUCACUUUAGCUGUAAGGCUUCCUAUUCGGCUGAACCCUGCUCCUAUCUCUAUAUUGUGCAUAUGCCAGCCAGCGGACUAAAGCAUGAAGUAUGAACGAUGGGUACACUAGAACUAUACGAAAUACAUUUUCAGGAUAAUUCUUGCUGUUAGGUUUAAGGUUCAAAUUGUGGAACUAGCAAUUUGGAGUAGAAAGGAUAUGAAGAGGGGUGGAAGGAAAAAUUUUUUUAAAAAAAAAAAGUCAAUAAAUGUCCUAUAAAGUGCCAGUUAUCAAUGAAGGACGGUAAAUUUAGACUUUCUAGGCUAUGAAACACGACUAGUAGUACCUAAACGUGUUUCUAGACUCUUAGGAUAUUCUAUGCCAAAGAACUCAGUAAUACCUAAACAAGACCAAUUAACUAAUGUGGGUUCCUUAAUAAAAACAUUUGAAUUAUUAGAAUAAAAAGCUGUAGAGAUCUCCCUUAGUUCUAGCAAAGUUUAGUUUGCUAUCCAUGCAUACUCAAUAAUACCAGCAAUAAAGAGAGUGCUCCAAGGGAAGGCAUGCUGGAUUUGCAUGGUUGACAUUAAAAGUCAGCCACUGAAGUUGGCCUAAAUUUUAUUUAUUUAUUUAUUUUUUUUGUCUGAUGGAGGAGGUAUUCAGGCCAUCUGGUAAAUCGGACCCAACUAAUCCUCCACUGGUCCAGAAGGAGAGGCUCCAUCCCCCCAAACACAAUAAUCAUGGGACUCGAACCCUGGCGGAUGCUGAACAACGGCUCCUAAAGAGGCGUGUCGUGACCAAUCAAGCUACCCAUGAGAGGCCACUGAAGUUGGUCUAAUUGCUGUCAGAUUUUGGGUUUAAAUUCUAGACCUAGUGGCUGGAAUGGGAAGGGUGAAGGAAAGACAUUAAAAGUCUAAAGUGCAGGUUAAAAUGAAGAACCACUGUAUCUAGUAGUCUCGGGUCGGAAAUUCGACACUCAUUUAUGGUGAAAGAGUUUUAAAGGAGAUGUCAAAACAUCCAUUUAAUUUAGUCAAAUCUAUAUACCUACUAACCUCUUACACAAUCUCCCUAUAGAAUAAGUUAUACAAAGGUUAUAGUUGUCGGGAAAAAAAAUAAAAGAUGGAUUGUCAUACAAAUUGUAUGGGAAAAAAAAAGUUAAAAUGAAGGAUUGUAAAUUUAGACUUUCUAGACCAUAGCGCACAAUUAGUAGAGGACCUAAACAUGUUAUUGGACUCUGCGGAUUAUUUCAUGCCAAACAACAUGUGUUGUGACCCAGGCCAGUAAUUGGCCAUGUCCAAUACAAAAACAUUAAUCAAGUCAAGUCAUAGACCAUCUAUUUUUGACCCAAUCCCGCCCAUUUUUAGUCAUGCAGCUUGGAUUUGGCGGGUACUUUUUCUCAAUUGCAAGUUGCAACUCCCGCCAAAAUCCCAUAACAAUUUAACAAGAAUUCGUAAAGCAAGUUGAAUGCUUCGUUGAUUUCAAUCUAAAAUCCCUAUCUGGAAUUCGCUUCAUAACCUUCUACAAUUGGGAUUUUCAUCUUCUCAUAAAAAAAAAAUCCGGUUUUUCUUCUCAAACAAGAUAAAUUUCAGCAAUAAGCAGAGGAGCUAGCUUUCAUUUUAGGGAAAAACGAAGAAAUGAGCGCUGUCAAUAUCACAGAUGUCACAGUUCUGGGUAAUCCGGCGCCGUUUUUGAACCCUCUCCAAUUUGAAAUCUCCUACGAAUGCUUGGUUCCCCUCAAAGAUGGUAACCUUUCUGUCUACCUUCCUCAAUUUCCUCACAGAUGCUUAUUUAUCUCGUUUUUUCUGUUAUUUGCAAGAUUAUUUGCUUAUUUAUGCAUUUAUGCAUUUGACGUGUUGAUAUUUGUGAAUCGAGGCUAUGUGAUGAGGUUUGAUGCCUGAAAAAGGAACCCUUUUGCAGAACCUUCAAUUGAGGCUUACUUUCCUUGAGACUGUUGAUUUUUCUUUUCAUCUCUAGUUUAGUUAUCGUAUUUAUGGUAAGAAAUUUUGUCUAAUAUGUAAUGAGACUAGCUGAACAAAUUAGAAUUUGAAUAAAUGAAGUUUAGUUGGAUUAGCUUAUCGCUUGUACCAAUUGCCAUGAUAAUGCAUUUCUUUGAAUAAUAUUUUUAGGUGUUUAUUAGCCUUUAUUCAUAUUGAGGUGGAAGUUUGCUAAGGUUUUAUCAUGUGCUAACGCUGUAAAAGGUUUCUGGAUACUAAAUGUGUUGUUAAUCAGGUUCGUAUAUAGGAAAGUUCAGGGCAUGUAAGUUAACCAGGGGUUUAAUUGCUGGUGGUUUCGUGUGCUUUCAUGAAGUCUAUUUUGGCUGAAUAUCUGUUUAACGAAGAAAACAAUCCCUAGGCUAGAGAUUGCUUGCUCUAUCUUGCAAGUGUAUGCUGACUCCGCAGGGAAACUAAUGAAUUCUUGUUGGUGAAUCCCAAGUAUGAAGAAUGUAUAAGAAUAAGGCUUGACAUGCUUUUUUAGUAGACAGCAUGUUGUCUGCUUGUCACCCAAUUUGUACUGGUUUUAUGAAAUGAGCCAAUGGAAAUAGCUAUUUCAUGUAUGGAAAGGCUUGGAAUGGGGUUCAGUGGGCUGGUAAUAAUACCGCAAAUUUUGUUUUUCGUUGCACCUUUUGUAUGAAAAUGAAAUUAUAUUAGCCCAGAUAUUCUUCAUUCAUUAGAGAGAUGCUUGUGAAGCUGUCUUAGUAAUGUCAUUGAAGUAUUACUUCAGUCAGUCAGCAAGUAGAGCUAACUCUUUCGUUACCAUGUAAUCGAGGAUCUAGUAUAAAUUUCUGAUGACAGUGGAGUUAGAAGCUAUUCUUCUAUACGACCUGUUGCCAUUAUUUCUGAUGAUAUGGAGUGUGUACUUUAAUGGACGUCUGACACUCGUUAAGUUGGUGUUUUGAAUCAAGUUUGUCUGAAAUGAAUUAUUAUCGCAUUACAAAAGUGAACAGAAGUAGUUGUCUGUGUAGAGGAGAACCAAUAUAGAAUUCAAAUAUGGUGUAACUGAGGAUUUUUUUUUUUGUGGUUGGUGGGGGUGUGAGGGGUUCUCUAAGGGAGUAUGCUCUCAAUACGUGAAACCAUAUGCGUGUAAGUGGUACUGUCUCAGCAGUUUGGAUACUUGGGCGAACUUCUCUUAUCUCUUUUUUUGACCUACCACGAAAAUUAUGGUUGUAAUUGCAAGAAUUAAUGUAACUAUAGUUUGCUAUCUUCUAAUUUUUGUCAACUUGUAGAUUUGGAAUGGAAACUAACUUAUGUAGGAUCUGCUGAGGAUGAAACAUAUGACCAGCUACUAGAGAGUGCACUUGUUGGACCAGUUAAUGUUGGCAAGUAUCGAUUUGUUUUUGAGGUAACUUAAGCCAUCUCCUAGGUAGUUCAGCAGUUGACCUUUCCUUUGGAUUGCUUCUGCUGAGUUCUUACUCUGCUUCUUUUGGUUUUCCCAUUGUGUGAGACAGGCAGAUCCACCGGACCAAGCGAAAAUUCGUGAAGAGGAUAUUGUUGGUGUCACAGUAAUUCUGCUGACAUGUUCUUAUGUUGGACAAGAAUUUGUUCGAGUGGGAUAUUAUGUUAACAAUGACUAUGAUGAUGAGCAGCUAAGAGAGGAGCCACCUCAAAAGGUUUUGAUUGACAGGCUUCAAAGGAACAUUCUGGUUGACAAGCCCAGAGUUACAAAGUUUCCAAUAAAUUUUUAUCCCCAUAACGAUGAUAAUGGUGAACAGCCCCAGGAAUAUUCUACUGACACUGCUACAGGCAUUACUCAUGUGGAAGAACAAGUUUCAUCGCCUGAUCAUCAGUCUGAGGUGCAACUUCCUUGAGUCCGAGCACUCAGAUUUUUGCUAGAUGUCUUCAGCAAAUGUUCAAGUUACAAAAAAUAUAGUUCUACCAUCAGAAUUUAUUGCAGGAAGAAAGCACCUGCAGUAGCUGUUCCAAGGAUUGCUAUCCAACUUGUCCUUCAUUAUACUUUAAGGGUGUCCAGCGAAAUUGUUCAAUUCACCUGUCAAUUUGACAAUUUUUUUGUGGGCUAUAAUGUCACAAUCUCCUUCAAGUGAGGAAUGAUGGUGGGUAUAAUCUAGCAUUUCCAUUCCCAUUAAAAAUCUCCUCACUCAUGUCGAUCAAUCUACAAAAGUCCCAUUUAAAGUUCUCUCUUGCACAAACAACGUGUAUUUCCAUUCCCAUUCCCAUUUGAAGUUCUCUUUUGCACAAACAACGUGUAGUGACUCAGCAAAGGUAUCAAAAGGGGCUCUUUUAAACUCCCAUUAUUCACAGCCUUAGACUUCCUUAACGAUUUAUUAAGUUUGCCCCUGACAGCUGAAUGCAAUAUGUUCUCAUAUUUAGUUUUGAUCUUUAAAGACGAUACAAAGUGAAAAAUAAAGGGAAAAAAUUGAUGCUCAAAACCGUUAAGAAAAACUAACAUUGAUCUUUGAAGACGAUACAAAGUGAAAAAAAAAAAAGCGGAAAAAAUUGAUGUGCAAAACCGUUAAGAAAAACUAACAAUCCGACAGUGGUUACCCCCCCCCCCCCCCGCGGGGCCUCUUCCUUUGUUUUUCCUUUUUUCAGUUGAGGAUAAAGUAAAAUUUGUUAUAGGGUAAUUGGCGUGCUGAAAACCAUAGUUGGCCAUCAAGAGAGUUACUUGGAUGUUGGUCAAGGGGUCGAAUCUCUUGAUCUAUAUUCUAAAAAUUCAGGACUUCCUGAAAUGUUUCACCAGCGGAUGCAUAGGCACCCAUCUAAACCGGUGGUAGUUCAGUUCCCCCAAAUUCUCCCUAGUCCCGUUGGAUCAACCCCCUCCUUAUAGUAUAGAGUAGAAAUAAAUCUAUCAUAUCCGGGGAAAAAAAAAUUGCCAUGUUGAAUUUUCCUUUUUAUGUUGGCACUGAACAAGUUACUUACAGAUGUAACUGGGUACGACCUUGUUUUCAUUAAUCUUUAGAAUGGUAGAUAGCUUAGAUUGAUUUUCCAAAGAAUUAUGAGGAAAUUAUCUACACAAUUUUUCUCUUAAUUUUUUGACAAAAGCCAUUGUAUAAGAUUAAUCUAACAUACACACACAAAAAGAAAAGAAAGAUUAUUCUAACACAAAUUAAAAUUAGAAUACAUUUUCUAAUUGAUUACAAUUUUCAAGAACUUAUUAAUUGCCUCACAUGUUUGACACUUUAUAAUGCAUUCCAAAUUUAUUUUGCAUUUUUGGUUCAUGAUUAAUUGUGCUAGUCGUAUGAGAGUGAAUAAAUUAGUGGCAUGGUCUUUACCAUAUCUUGUCACGUUUUGGUAUCUAGCGCUUAUUACCAGAGACUUAUCCUAUGCCAACCAGGAUUUAGAAACUUACCAUAUAGGAAACCAGGCACUAUAUAUAUGUAUAUAUAUACACCAUAUACAGGCUCUCACCAUUCAUUUGUUCUUUCGUUUCUUUUAGAUAGUGUUUAGUUGCAAGGAAAGUGAAGGCUUGUUUAAACUUCUUGGAUAGAUACUAUUGAAUUACUAGUGCAUUGAUUAGAGACUUAUACAUUGAAAUAAAAAAAUACAUUCAUUUGCUAAAAUAUUACCUAAAAGGAGCAUAAAAUAAGUAAUAACUUAUUUAAUUGCAUAAUUAUUUCAAAAAAAAUAAAAAAAAAACUAACAUGAAAAUAAAGUUGAAUGCAUAUACUUUUAUGCUAUUACAUCUAAGUAAUUUAUUCAAAGUCAUACCCUAAAAAUAAAGAAAACACAAAAAUACAUCACUGUCAAUAAACUAAAAAUUAUUUUUUUUAUUAAUGAAUUGGAAAUUCUUAUUAGUUACUAUUCUAAUGAGACUCAGACUUUCAUAAGGAAUUUAAGAAAUCCUCACUAUAGUCGUCGUCAUCAUCAAUCCUGUUUGAGCCGCCAAUGUUAUAAUACCUCUUUAAAUAUAUAAUUAUCUUAUCUGGUGGAUAAGUUAAAAAUAUCUUUGGUUUAGUGUCAUUCGUCACAAGAUUCUCAAAACUUUCGUAAACACAAUUUUCAUUCAAACCUUCGAUCAACUGCCUUUAUGUCAUUAAGCAAAGUAGAUGGAUUGAUAAAUGCUUGUUCAUUUUUUCUAUCAAUUGCUUCUGCCAUUUGCUUGAUACUUGAUAAAACUGUAUUCAUGGUCUGAAUGCAGGUUUUGGCAUUUUUUGCACCAUGAGUUUCAUCCUUAUCAGUUGUGUUUGAGGAUAAAGCGCCCCUUAACAGCAAUUUGUUGGGGAGUUUCUUUAAUUUGACCGUUAUAUUCACCUCCAUCUACUUCCAACUCAUUUUCAUCUAUGGUUCCAUUUUUUCUCAUUUUGUUUUGCAUUGAUAUCAGGACGGCCACGACAUCAUUCACCAGUUGCUACAUCGCUUCCACAAACGAUUCCCAAUUCUUCAAGCAUUUCAAUGCAUUUAUGUCUUAAAUUUUUUACUCUUGGGCGUGCCUAUAAAAAGAACAUAUAAAAUUAUGUAAAUUUUAAGAAUAAUUUUAAUAAAUAAACAUAACUAGAACAUAUAGAAUACGAGUUACCUUUACAUAUGUUUCCCAUACUUCAUCUGUGCAUUCCACUUUCUUCGUUGUAGAAUUAAAAAUAAAUCCGCUUUGAGACAACAUUUGCUCAAUGUCUCUAUAAACCCUUUUGAUUGAUUUCAUACAAUUUAUCACAUUAUCCUUGUUGACUUCAAUAUUAAAUUCUUUUUUCAAAGCUUUAGCCGGCAGCAACAUAUGCUACGUAUUUGAAUCCUUUAUUGCAUGACUCGUUUCCUUCGUGGCAUUGAAUGGCAAGACCGUCCACCAAGCUUUUAUCCAUUUCAGCGGUUCAUAUUCAAUUUUUUUUGCUUGUCUUGAUAUGAUUGAGUAGCAUUAUUAAAUUUUUUCAUAGUUCUUCAAAAAAAUUUAUCCGUUGACAUUUUCCCAUGACUUGUUUUCCCAUGAUUUUUGCGGGAUGAGGAAACUUGGUAGUUAUGUGAAAAUUUUUUUCUUAUGGAUCCUACUGCUUUCUUGUCAAACAAAUGGCAAAAAAUUGCAAGAAUGAUAUCUUCCCUCACUUUUCCUGUAACAUUCCUGUCAACCAAACACGACAAUUCAAAUUUUCCUAUAUUAUUUUCCUGUCUAUCAAACACAAAUAGAAAACUUUAGUUUCCUUUUUCUUUACAUCACUUCACUUUACUUUUCUCGCGACGUACCUUUUUGCACAACUUUCUUGUCAAACAAACAGAGCGUUAAUGUCAAUUAACAUAGGAGUUUUUUGCUAAAGUAAUUCAGUUCUAGAAAAAUAUUCCCAAGAUAACACAAUUGAAAUAAUAUACCGUUUCUAAUGUAUUUGAUGCUACAUGGAUUUCUAGUGCAAAAUAUUGAAUCAAAUUUCUACUUCUACAACUACACGAUACCCAUCUUUAUUCUAUACUCUUGUCUUUUUUUUUUUUUCAGCAUUAUAGGAGAAAUUUUAUUAAAUGUGCUGCACUGAAUCUACUUAAAAAUAAUGAUAAUCAUUCCAAACUUCAUUGUUACAAAUUAUUGUUCUUUAUAUAGAAUUUUAAUGGGGUAAAUUAUUUGCCUUUGUUUUACUAUUGGUAAUAGGAUGAUUAUUUUUUAAGCAAAAAAAAAAAAAGAUUUUGAAAUUGGGCAUGCAUUUUCCUCUUCUUUUGUUAUCAAGGUGGUAUCUAUCAUUGUAUGACCAUACAAAUUAUUUCAAGCAUUUUGGGUUGUCUUGAUAUUUUUGUCUAAAUUUAAUGCACCACUGAUCAAGCACUCAAGACAUGGUUUUCAAUUUUUUUUCCAAUAUUACCCCCAUAAAAAUUCCCAUAUAUCGGUUUCUAGCUUUUGAGUUGAUAUUUUCCUUUUUUUUUUUUUUCCUUCCCUUCCUACAAAGAUAUAACCUUUUUUUCCUCCCUUCCCACAAAGAUAUAUCCUUGUACAAUUAAUUGUUGUCAAGUGACUUUUUCCUUUUUUUAGUCCCUCCAUUCUUAGUGAGAUAUGCCUACAUAGAAUAAAUUUUUAUUGGCGUUUUGUUCCAUAUUACUUUGUAAGAAGAUUUAUAGUUAUUUAAUCAGGAUUAGAAGUGACUAAGAAAAGGUAAAGUAUAAUUAAGAAAAGAUUGGAAGCCUUUUGAAAAGGGAAAAUAAAGGAAAUUAAGUUUCAAAAGUCUUAUGUAGAUUAUACAAGUUAUUAUAAAGGGAAUAUGAUUUAAAAGUGUAUUAUUAUGGGAAUAAUUUUUAAAAACAAAGUUAUUUUAGUAAUCCUAAGACCAAUAGGAUUUGAAAACUUACCAGAAACCGGGAGUUACAACAAUGUAUCGUAAGCAUCCCCGUUCUUUUCUUUUCUAUAUUUUUGUGGAUUAUUUUGAACUUAUAGGGAGAGAAACAUGGAGGGAAAGCUGAUUGUAGUUAGAAAGUUGUAUGCAUACAAUUUAAGGGCAGAUUUUCCAUCAUUGAGCAAAAUCUUGCAACUUAUCGCUUCAUAGCGGUAGAUACAGAGUUUCCAGGAGCAAUAUUUCGCAGCCAAAAACCUUAUCACCUGAAGAAAAUUACCAGUUGAUGAAAGAGAGUGUCAACAGUCUAAAACUUCUUCAGUUGGGCCUUACGCUAUCAGACUCGAGUGGCAAGCUUCCUAAUUUGGGUACUUAUAGUUAUUUCAUAUGGGAAUUUCAAUCUUUUGAAAGCACAUGAAAUUGAUUUUGUCAAGAAUUUGGUUCAUGGCAUCAGUUUUGUAGAUUUUGCCAAGUUUUUUUUUAUGGAAUCAGGGUUGGGAUUUUCUUUAAGAUCAUUCACAGAGUGCAAAAGAGAGUAUGAUCCUCACAAACUAACGUGGGUGUUCUUUCAUAUGACAUGGGCUACCUUAUCAAAGUUCUAACUCAGCAAGAUUUGUCAAAAAAUCACGUUAGAUUCAUGGCCUUAGUGAUGAUCUAUCUUGGGACUUUAUGGUUGAUGCUUACCUUCCUUUUAUGGUUCCUCCAAUUUCAGACAUGUGGACUGCCACUUGAUAAGAAAGUUGAAGCAGGAGAACAAAAAAACUGCAAACGGGCUUCCUUUGUCGCAGUGAAGCAAGGGCCAUCUGACAAUUACAGUUCUAGAAGUGAUUAGGGAUUCUUUUACUAACUCCCUUUUGUUCUGGUGAUUAUUCCUCUGGUAUGCUGCAACUUUGAAUUCUAUUCACUGCCAUUCUUGCCUACAGACCAGACAAAAAGGGGAAAAGGAGAAAAAAUGUCAUUAAGUUAACUUAAGAAGUAAAUAGGCAAGUCCCUGUGCAAUAACAACACAAUCAAGUUAAUGCAGAAGACAAGACUGAAAUAGUGCCUCUUGAUGAAGAUCAUUUCGAGUAUGUUAAGCAAAAGUACCAAGUCCUUUACCCAAUGACCAUACUCAAAAUACUCUGGUAAAGUAGACUAGUAUGACACAGGUCCUACUACUAAGUGUCCCUCGAAAUUCUUACUUUUUGCCACAAUUAUCAAACCACCCCUUUCCCUUUCCUGUUUCCAACCUGUCCAGAAUUUCCUGAUUUCCACCCUACCAAUCUCUCAAAGCAUGGAGAUGGCAUCCUUCCCAGCUUCCAAUAUGAGCCUUGGUCUGACUCCCACCCUCCCAGAAUGGCUCAAUAAUCCAAAUACUCCAAUCCUCUAUUUUGGGCAUCUCCAGGCUAGACUGACUGAUCCCUUACCGUAACUUCUGAUCCCACUUCAUCCACUGAUCACCUCUGUUGAGGGUUUGACAGCAGUCAUAGCUGUGGUUCAAAUCACCCCUCCUAAGUCCUAGCCCUCAUCAUGUUCCUCUUAAUCCAUCCAGCAUGAUCCCUGCCACACCCUCUUCCCCAUCCCUCAAUGUGGGUAAUUUGUGAUUAUCAAUCAACAAAACUCCUUAGCUUUUUGUGGGAGACAAAAUUUGUCUAAAGAACGCAAACUUGACCAAUGUUAACUUUGUGAAACGUGUUGAAUAUUGGGUAAAAGUUAACUAUUUGCCAAAACAGUUAUGAAAUUCACAAAACUGAAAUCAGUUUGUAUACUAAUUUAAGUUGGAUUUUAUUGCAUAUAGAAUAAACAUUCGGUUACAAGUUACUCCACCUAAUUUGGUCAUUAUCCAAAAAGAAAUACUUGUUAUGCUACAGUAAAAAUCUGCCAAAGGCAUACCUCAUUAUCCCAAUCAGUGCACAGGUUUACUGUAACAAGCGCUACAACUUGCACUGAAAGGCCACAUAUGAUUCCCAUCCAAAGUCCCUGCAGGCAGUUAAAACUUGAAAGUGUCAAUCGUCGAAGGCACAAAAUUUUCAAAAUCCAUUGAUAGGAGUGGGUGGGGGAAGGGGAUACCAUGCCUCCAAUGUGGAAGAAGAAUGCAAGCAGAACAGCUGAAGGUAUUCCUACAAUAUAAUAAGCUCCAAGGUUGAUAAAUGCACAGAGGUUUUGCCAUCCACAUCCUCUUGCAGCCCCUAGAAGUAAUUGGCAAACAUCAAAGAAACAUUCUGGAGAUUGCCAUAGCAGGCAAUGAAAAAGAAAUUCCAAGAUAUGCUUUUACGGUAUAAGCAAAACUUAGCAACCUGAUAAGACACAUUGGAAUCCAUCAAAGAAGUCAGAUAGUGCAAGGAGAGGCAACAUCUUAGCCACAUAUCUAACCACCUCUUCUUCAUUGCUAUAGAGCUUUCCCCAUAUAUGCCGAACCAGAAUGGUUGUUGUUCCAACAAUUGCGCCCUCUGUAAGGGCCACUAUGACUACCACACCCAAUGCUAAGCGCGCGCCUUGUGGAUUUCCAGCGCCCAAUUCAUUUGAAACUCUCGUACUAAAAUGAUUACAGGGUAAAAUCAUUUUCAACCAGCUAAAUGCAUGGAAAACAGUAAUCAAGAAAAAUAGUUCGAUCCUUGAGGUAUCCGUUAAUUAAUGUCAUUGUUAAAACCUUCUGUCAUUGUUAAAGCUUAAAAGCAUGAUAAGAACUUUGAUUGGGUUUACUAACCUUAUGGCAGCACCAAGACCGACAGAGAUCAUAUAGACCAUCCAACAUGUAUUGAGGCUGUCAGAACAAGAAAAAACAACUGAUGUAAUCAGAAAAGACUAGUAUAUAACGUCUUUCAAGUGCGCCUGAAGCUUUAUUUCUGUGAGCUAGUAUAACAUCUUUCAAGUGCUGUAAUCUGAUAUAUUAAGUUCAGUAAUAGAGACAAACCUGAUAGAUAGGACUGAUGUUUCUAGCUUUGGAUUUGGCAAAAGACCAGAUAAUAGAACAACCAUCUCAAAUGACCAAUACUCCAAACUGUGGCUCAAACAAAUAAUGAUAAAUUGUCAACUAAAGAAAAAUGUUGGGCAAUACAUGAUAGAAUAACCAAAAAAGAAGGUGGGGAACAAAACACGUGCAUCCAUUGUUCCUUGAUCUGUACACAUGCUUCGUGGAAGGUCCUUUCGGAGAUGCAUAAAAGCUUCUCACCAAACAGUGCUAUACAUGCUUCAGUAUGACAAUAUCCUCUGUUUUUAGGUUAGGUGCCAGUACCAUACAACUUACCAAAUCAUGAUAGCUGAAGGAAUUGCAAGUUUUAUAAAACUGACGAUACCAAGCAAGGCCUCUUUAGAGAAGCCAGUCCAAGUACUUGAGCAAGCUGGUGAAAACUUGAUGUACGCCGUCAGCAAAAACACAUUAACCCAAUAUGAUAUGCCGUUUGCAAGAGCAGCUCCUCUGUUUCCAAAUCCAGUUUUGAACACAAGAAACCAGCAUAAAAGAACAUGAAAUAACGCUGUAAUGCCAGAGCUCAUCAUCAUAGGAAACACAAUAUUUUGAGUCUGUAAAAAUCUGUUGAUGCAUUGAAGGAGGGCAUAGGCAAAAAGGCCUGGUAUCAUUGACCGAUUAAAUUUCCCAGCUUCAAUAGAUAUCUCCUGAUCUUGACCAAGAACUAUUAGAAUGUGGUCUGUGUAGAACCAAAUCAAUGCAAGGAAAAUGCUUAACACUAGAAGAACUAUCAUCCCUCGCUGCGUAUAGAUGCCAAGCAUACGAUACUGUUUGGCUCCAUAAGCUUGUCCACAUAGCGUUUCCAGUGCACUUCCCAUUCCUAACUAUCAAAACAUUGUUAGAAUACAAGAUUCCGAGCUAGUGAACACUGAGAUAAAUCGAAAAAGUUUCUGGGCUUUCAACUAGAGACAACAAAAACCAUGUAGUAUGUCAUAACAUAUAUGGCAACUAUGCUUUGCGUGACAUACUGCCUACGAAAUUUGAUCCUUGACACGGCUAUAAUUAUGCUUUUACUGACUAAAGUUGUACUUAUUGGAAUAGUACAUUGAAUUAAGGAGUUUAAUAUGUUCAUUCAAGGGGGGGGGGGGUGUGGGGGUGCACAAUAUUCUCUUCAGUGCAACUAUGCAAGUUAUGGGUGGAGAAAGUUGCUUUCUGCAGUGGAGCAAAACAUGAAGCUAAUUUUCAUCUAUUAGUAACAAACUAUAAUAUUCCUUAAAAAUCCCUCUUGAUUUCUUCUUUAAAUCAGGUUCUGAUAUCAAAACCAAAGAUCGGCAAAAUUCUGGAAGUACAUGAUUAGGGACAUGGGCAUCAAUGCAUUACAUGCCAAUGAAUCUACAAAUCGAUGAUUAUGGCCAUGAUACCUUCCUAUGACUUAUCCACGAGGCUGGCAUAGCGGCAUUCGAACUGCCAAUUUCAUGUUUAAAAUAGCUAUCUGCUACUAAGCUGCUAUCUUUACUUAACAUGAUGAUUAAACAAGGAAUACUUUAGUCAUGACUUCAAAUUGAAUCGCAAGGCUAAUGAAAUUUGAAGCAAAAGACAGGCGAAUAAGGCCAGAUAAUAGAAUUUACUGAUUCUUCUGUAACUAACUAUAAUAUCUAAGUUAAAGAUACAUAAAUCAUCACCAAUUUUGUUAUUUUCUUGAUAAUCUUAGAGCUGAACUAAAAACAAAAUAAAGGGUAAUAAAUGAAAAAAAGAUUUGGAAGGGACAUAGACUUACCAAUACGUUGAAUCCAGUGACUGAAGCAAAGGAAGUAGCCAUCGAAGCACUUGAAAGAGGCAGCUCCCCAAGAUGGCCGACAAACAUGAUCGAAAUAAUUUGUAAACAGUACUGCAGAAUGCUCACUGCAAUCAGAGGCAGUGCUAGUCCUAGCUGCCUCUUUACUUCUUCAAUAAUCUCCCCUCUAUAACAACCUUGUUCAGAUACCUCUCUAUCAAUGCAGUGGCUUCUGCCUUGGCUUGGGAUCAAAGGGGCUACAGGGCUCGAGUCAUAUCUGUCCAUUCUCCUUCUUUUCCCAAUCAAUAAUGUUCUUCAGUCAAGAUUCUCACUCUCUUUAACUGCUUUUGCAAGUCUUUUAUCAAUUUAUGAUGAGAUAAUCAUAUUUCAAGUAUUAAUUGGUUUAUUAUUAAGGCAGUGGCUCCCACUUAAUAUAAAAUGUAAUCCAGCAAUGCUACUGAAGAAUAUUAGGAACUACAGCUGGGAAGAUUUAGACAGCAAGAUUACGAAAAUCUUAGCCUACAAAUGGUGAAAAAAAAAAGAAGAAGCACUGAUUGAAUAUUUGUCAGAUUGACAUUUUGCAUAUAGUAAUCUUCACUGCAAGAUAUCAUUGUAAUAAGAGUACGAAAAUAUGAAAAGAUUCAAUGGUGAUUCACUCUGAUCAACCAAUCAUCGGGAAGGAUAACUCUUUCGCCAACUCCAGUGGAAUUCGUCCUUUACUUUUUGGCAUUUUCUGCUGGACAUGCCACUUGUCGGUUGAUUCAGCCAUGCGAAAGUCUAAUGUUGUCUUGUCAAGAAUUAUAAUAAUUAUGACCCUUUGAGGAUGUUCAAGGCUAAUGCUUGAGUUACAUUCAUUACCCUUUAAAAUAAUUCGUCUUGUCAAUCAUGGAGAUACAUAUAGUUUAAACAAUUGGGGUAAUACUACUUGUCUCUGACACCAUGAAUGCAGAAAAUGUCAAUAUAUGGAUUGCCUUGGAUUGGAUGAGACAAACUGUUUCUUUAGCGGACUGCGUCCCAUCCGCAGAAAAGAGUAUCGCCUGCGCAUUUUGACUUGGAUGGUCAAGUGAAUGGCAAAUUUUGAUUUCUAUCAAAAGGUAGAGUCCAAGUGUUUGAUGAUACUUCCAAGUUUCCGAGAAAUGGCAACAAAUCCACAUAAUAAAGUAUAACAGGAAUUGGCCCAGCCCCCUUCUUUCCUCCUUAAUUUAAUUCUUAUGACCUGGAAGUGUUCUUUACAUCGAUUGAUAUUAUUGUUCUAUAACCAGUGCACCAAACUUGAAAAACUAGCGUAAAAAACAUGAAAAAGUAUAACUGGAGACAUCACAUAAUUCUAGCAAUUAAUUGUACUUAUAUGAGAAGAGAACAUUACUGAUGACAUUAGGAUGAAUUCUUUAAUACAUCUAUACACAUGUACUGCAUCAAAUGUAACUUGCAUAUGCUGAUCUCUAGCCAAGUAACAGUCUUGAUACAUUUCAAGUAGAAAAGCUUAUCCAUAAGUCGUUGAGCAAGUUUUGAGAUGAAAAGUUCAAUCAAAGCACAUGAAAUAGGCAUGCAAAUGACAUAAAAUCUCACUGACUAUCCAUUCACAAUUCAAAUUGCAGAAAGCUAUUUGAGACAGUGGACCAAAAUAGCGCUCCGCUCAUUAAUGCAAUGAGAGAUUUAUAUGAAAAUGAAAGAAAGAAAAAGGAGGACGGGAUUUCUUGGUUUAGAUGGUAAAAACUGAAGACAGAGGCUAUCUAGUUUAUCCUAGAGUCCUGUGAUCUUCUCAUCAUUGUUUCACCACAAAAUAGCGAUGACAGGAGGGCCCUCCAAUGUGAUCACUGACAAUGCAGCAAACAAGCUGAAUGCUCCGUGUUUAGCCAAAUGAUCAACGCAUUGGUUUGCCACUUUAAAGAUGUAUUUUAUCUGGUUUUAAGAAAUCUGCUGACUCAAUGCCUGCUGUCACCAAGAAUGGUAAAAAGCACAAGAGAGUCUGAAUUUAUUUCCUCGAAACAAAUCGGUAGUAAUCUGUGAUACAGAUUCAGCAAUGAGACGUGAGAAUCUUUUCUGCAAAGCAAUCAUUAAUCCAUCUCUUAUCGGCCAAACUUCAGUUGUGUUUAUUGUUGCAGAGCCAAUAUGUCUGCUGAAACCAAGAAUCCAUUCCCCUGUGCGAAAAACUCCCUCAGCACCUGCUAGACUUGUACACAUCCAACAGCUCAACGAUCAGUCAGAUGUUGGUAUGGCAAGGAAUCACUCGGAACAACUGCAAGCAUUAUUAGAGAAAGGAAGACUGGAGAUUCAUUGCAAGAUCAGGCAGAAACAGUGAAGAUGGCUAUGACAAAAGCAGCCAACCAAGGCUAGAGUAGAGGAACAUCCUAAUUGAGAUUGAAAACAAGAAAUUAUUAGGGUACAUUCAGAGAUUAGGCUACAAAGGCAGUCGAAUACCAACAGUUAUAGAUGACAUACAGUCCCUCAGUAGAUUGUUUUUACAGUGCUCUUUUUCUUUUGUUAACAUCGAAAAGACUGAUAGCAUUAUUCAGCUUAGCAAAUAUGCUCUUAGCAUUUGGAUAGAUAAAGAAUGGGUGAACCCCAAUCUUCGGUGCAAAUGCAUCGGUAUAGAUGAUAGGACCUUUGUCCUUUUUGCUUGGACCUUUGUCCAGACUCCAGAUACUCCACAUUUUUGCAAAAAGGAAAAAACUGCUAGAAUUGUCCUACGAAUGAAAGAAUCAUCUAAUAUUUGGCCAUUAUGAAAGGGGCCGGCCGGGAGGAUACAAUAUAAUCAGUCUGUCAUCACUUGUUACAGAGGUAGAACUGUUACAACACAAAGAAUAAAAGGGAUAAUUUCAAAAACCUCCCCCAAGGUUUCUGACUGUUUCACUGACCUCCUCCCAGGUUUCAAAAAUUAUACUAAUCUCCCUUGAGGUUAAUUAUCUCGUAACAUUUAGAUUCAAUCAAUAAUUAAAAAAUGAUAUUAGAAGAGAGAAAAUAAUAUGAUUUCAUCAUUGCCCUCUCGUCUAUUAUAUUAUUUAAUUAAUUUAAUACAACCCACACAUUAAAAAAAAUACAAAAAUUUGCUAUUUAUCGUUAGGAAUCAAAUCAUAUAUAGCAACAAAAUAUAGUAUACCAAUUUAUAUUUUUCACUUAAUACAAGAUCUAAAUUAUUUUUUUUAGUUACAUACCCAUUGUCAAAUAUGAUCAAUAAUAAAUAAUCAAAAAAAUUUGCAAUCAAAAUAUUUUACAGAACAAAAUUUAACAUUAUAAUAUUCUUGUCAAUAUAUUAAAAUUAGUUGUUGAGAUUUUUAUGAUAUUAAUGUUUGCUCUUUAUAAUAUUUUGAUUACAUAUUUUUUUAUUAUUUGUUAUUGAUCAUGUUUGACAAUGAGUUUGUAACUGAAAAAAUAAUUUGAAUCUUACAUUAAGUGAAAUAUGUAGAAUAAUAUGCUCUUUUUGAUGCCAUACAUGAUUUAAUCUUUCAUGAUAAAUAAUAAAUUCUAGUGUGUUAUUUAAUAUUUGGACUAGUAUUAGAUUAAUUAAAUAAUUUAGUAGACAGGGGGUAAUAGUGAUAUCAUAUUAUUUUUUUCUCCUAAUAUUACUUUUUAAUUAAUGAUUGAUUCUAGAUAUUACAACAUAAUAUUUCAUAAGGGAGGUCAGUAUAAAUUUCAAAAUUUUAAGAAAAGCCAGUGAAAUAUUCAGAAACCUCCUUUGAGGUUUCUGAAAUUAUCCCAUAAUAAAAUCGAGCGGGGGUGCAGCAUUGAUGUAGAAGUCAACCUAAGUUCUUAGGUCCGUUUUGGUUAUCAUAAAGAUAUUUGUUGCAAACACACAAGAAAUGUGUUUUCGAUGGUAUAUGAAACAAAUAAGGAGCAUAAAAUUCCAACAACCUAAACAUUGGAUGAGGACCAUUAAUGGAGAAAGAGAUGGAUAGCCACACGACCUCAACUUUAGGGCAUUUGGAUUUGGGGUAGGAAAAGUCAACAAAGAAAUCAUCCGGUCCGAUUUAUGAAUUUUGCAUAAGAUGUAAUUCAGUUUACACAUAAUAUAACUUAUUUUACACAACGUAUAACUAUAUAACAAAAUUUUAUGGGCCACACACAUAGUGUGAAAAAUGACGUAUAAGAUAAAAUUUAGACCUUUGUUGUAAAACUAAUAAAACAAACGACCAAAAGUAGGGAUCGGAAUAGUAGAGUGAGAAGCAAAGAGAGUCCAGAUUUCAAGGUUAUAAAUGAAGUAGGAUUCACCCCUAUAUAUAGGUGAUCCAAGAUCAAAGGUACAUGAACCCUAUUAAAUACAAAUACAUGAAUUUAGUACAUCAAGUACAUCCAUAAAUGAGUUCAUCCAAUAUACCAAUGAAUCUAGGGAGAAUACAUGUGCCAAUCAUCUAGAGAAUACAAACGGACAUCUUCAUCUUGUAAUCCUUCUUGAGAAUACCAAUGGACAUCCACAUCUUAUCAUUAUUUCAUAACACUCCCCCUUGGAUGUCCAUGACACAAAGAAUAUGUCUCGUUAAAACCUUACUAAGGAAAAAUCCAGUGGGAUAAAAACCCUAGUGAAGGAAAAAGAGUACACUAUUCUUGUGUAAUAAAUUCUCCCCCUGAUGCAAACAUUAUAUGAGAUCUUUUAGCCGACGCAUACCAAUAUUCUUCACCAGUUUCCCAAACAUAGCAGUCGGCAAAGCCUUGGUAAACAAAUCUGCCAAACUAUUAUCCGAUCGAAUUUGUAGCACGUCAAUCUCACCAUUCUUCAUUCCAAUGUCGUCUUGUAGUCGAGGAACUAAUGAUAUAUCUGGUCUUGUACAAUUAGUAAGAUAAUAAGCGCACCAAAUGCACUGAGAUAUGAUACUUCAGGACCAAGUAUCUCUUCAUGUUCCUCUGGUGGCCUAAAGGGAUCCUAAUAAGGAUCCAAUGAUCUGACGACCAUUGGGGUACUUAAUGUAUGUGUUUUAUUCAUACGGAACCGCUUUAAUACCUUCUGGGUAUAAGCAGUUUGGUGAACAAAAAUUCCACCUUCUAAAUGCUCAAUUUGUAAACCAAGACAGAAUUUUGUCUUUCCAAAAAUCUUUGAUCUCAAAUUCUUUCUUCAAAUAUUCGACAGUCUUUUGGAUCUCUUCAGGAGUUCCAAUUGAGAUCAUCAACAUAUAUUGUAAUAAUCACAAAAUUUGACCCAUUUUUCUUGAUAAAAACACAUGGACAUAUUGGGUCAUUGGUAUAACCUUCUUUAGUUAAGCAUUCAUUGAGGCGGUUAUACGACCAGAUUGUUUGAACCCAUACAAAGACUUUUGUAUUCUAAUAGAAUACACAUCUCUAGGAUUUGAUUUACAUGCUUCAGGCAUGUUGAAUCCUUCAGGGAUUCUCAUGUAAAUAUUAUUUUCAAGAUUCCCAUACAAAUAAGCAGUGACAACGUCCAUCAGACGCAUAUCAAGUUUUUCAUGCACUGCAAUACUCAUAAGAUAUCUAAAUGUGAUCGUAUCCACUACAGGUAAAUACGUUUCAUCAUAAUCAAAUCCAGGCCUUUGUGAAAAACCUUGGGCUACAAGCCUUGCUUUAUAUCUCACUAUUUCAUUCCUUUUCCUUACAAAAAUCCAUUUAUAUCCAACUGGCUUGACACCUUCAGGUGUUUGGACUACAGGUCCAAAAACAUUCCUUUUAGCCAGUGAAUCUAAUUCAAAUUGUAUCGGCUUUUUCAUUUUUGGCCAAUUAUUUCUAUGCCGACAUUCAUCAACCGAUCUAGAUUCAUGAUUCUCAUCAACUUCUAUAAUAUCAAGUGCUACAUUUCAUUAGGCUCCAAUUAACUUUUCUAUAAUUUCAUUCUCUUCAGGAGUUGGCUCUUCGGGAGCUGGCUCUUCAGGAGCGCCCUCUUCAGGAGGUUAAAUUUUGUUAUGACAUUUAUUUAAUCUCCGGAGAUAUUUGAAAUCAAUUUAUACCUUAUAUAGGUAGGCCGGCCUUUAUUUGUAGCACUUGUACAUGUCCUUCAGGGACGUCAAUUUUAAUAAGAGUGUUUCCUGCAGGAAGAAUUGAUUUGAUAACUCGUAUGGAGUCGAUAAAUAUAACUUUCUUCAAAUGAAGAAUUUCUUGAACUUCUAGUUCACAUUAUUUUAUAUGAGAAUCGAGGAAAUCUAAUUUUCAGAUGAUUUCCUUUCGGUUGAUCUUCCUCCCCCUAAUGUUGGGAUAGAUCACUCAUCAAUAGAUCAUUCAUCAAUAUGUAAUCAUAAAAGGUGAUGCAUAUCCGACAUCAAUUUCUUUUGGAGCCAUGUAUAAUAUAAAGGGGGUAUGUAUAAAUACUUGUCGACAUUCAAAUGCUCUCAUAUAUUCUUUGGGAUCAGUAAACUGCUGGUUUACUGCAGGUGAUGAUUAUAAAGCAAAUGAGAAUGAAGAUAACUAUAUCGAUAACCAUUUCACCCUCGAAUGAUUAAUAUGAUAUAAUCAACUUUUAUCUCACUUGAUUUUGAUUAUUAUCUCAUUCAGUGUCUCGGAUAAAUUUCUUUGUGACUUGGAAGAGAGUAGUGCAUGAUUUAUGACAAUUUUAAUUCCUUCAGGGAGAAAUAGAGUGGCUCUUCCGGAGCACUCAAUUAAUUUUGCACUAUCAUUGAUGGUAUUAACAUUUGUCUCUCCCAUCUCCAAAAAUAUCUUUUAUUUGUCAAUAUAGUGUGCGUAUAAGCACUAUUAACGAGACAUAUGUUAUCAUCACCAUAAUUUGAUCCCAAACAUUUGGCAUCCAUUUCUUCUUCAGGAAGAAAAUAAAUGAAACUAAAUAUUGAUAAAAGAUACAAGAAUAGACAUAUGCAAAGUAAAUAGAUAAAACUAACAACAUAUCAAACAACAUACCAAAGUAAUAGACAAUCCUGCAAAACUAACAACAUAUCAAACAUCUAGACAAAUAUUAAAUAUAUGAUCAUUUUGCAUCUUCAGGAUGCUCAAAGAAAUCGGCAAUAUCCAGGUGUGUCAUGUCAGCAUCAUCAUCAUCAUAAGCAUUCUUUUGGUCGAUAAAAUUUGUCUCGACAUCUUUGUCCUUCUUUUUCAAUGAUGCUUGAUAGAGGUCAACAAGAUGCUCAGCCGUACGACAGGUACGGGACCAGUGACCUUCCAUACCACACCGGUAGCAUUUUUCUUCAUAAAUUUUUUUUUCUUCUUCUUUCGGAUCGUAGUCAUUUUCUCUCUCUUGAGAAAUAUUUUGUUGCUUGUCAUGGUGAUAAUUUUCACGAGGCACAAAUCUACUACGAUCUCGUUUACGGCCACGACUACGUCUACGGUUACCUCUACGGUCACGUCCACGACCUCGACCAGAAUUUUGAAAUUGAGUCCCAUUCGCUUCAGGGAAUGGACUUGCAAUAGUUGGUCGGGACUCGUGAUUUUUCAACAAUAAUUCAUUAUUUUGUUCAGCCAAAAGGAGACAUGCAAUAAGUUCAGAAUAUUUCUUAAAUCCUUUCUCUUUAUAUUGCUGCUGCAGGAGCAUAUUAGAGACAUGAAAAGUAGAGAAUGUUUUCUCUAACAUAUUUUCAUCAGUGACUUUUUCGCCACACAAUGAUAGUUGAGAAGUAAUUCGGAACAUGGCUGAAUUUUAUUCGUUGACAGAUUUGAAAUCUUGUAGCCGUAAAUGAAGCCAGUCAUAUCGGGCCUUUGGAAGAACAACCAACUUCAAGUGGUCGAAUCUUUCUUUCAAAUCUAGCCAAAGAACAAGAGGAUCUUUGACAGUAAGAUACUCUACUUUUAGUCCUUCAUUUAAAUGACGACGAAGGAAAAUCAUGGCCUUAGCACGGUCUUGAUUUGAGGCAUCAUUCUUAUCAACAAUAGUAUUACCAAGACCCAUUGCCUCAAGAUGAAUGUCAACAUCCAAAACCCACGAUAAAUAAUUUUUUCCAGAAAUAUCAAGAGGUAUGAACUCUUGUUUUAUGAGAUUAGCCAUAAGACUAUGCAAUAGAUUCGUAGGAAAGAAUAUUACCUUGAUAAGUAGUCAAAAGUUGUUUGGGCAGAAUCUUGUCUCGUGCUUCACUUUUGCUUCGCGUCUUUCCUUCACUCAAAGUAGAGACUCGUGCUUUUCCUUAGCUCAAGGUAGAAACUCGUGCUGAUAACGUGUUGUAAAACUAAUAAAACAAACGACCAAAAGUAGGGAUCGGAAUAGUAGAGUGAGAAGCAAAGAGAGUCCAGAUUUCAAGGUUACAAAUGAAGUAGGAUUCAUCCCUAUAUAUAGGUGAUCCAAGAUCAAAGGUACAUGAACCCUAUUAAAUACAAAUACAUGAAUUUAGUACAUCAAGUACAUCCAUAAAUGAGUUCAUCCAAUAUACCAAUGAAUCUAGGGAGAAUACAUGUGCCAAUCAUCUAGAGAAUACAAACGGACAUCUUCAUCUUGUAAUCCUUCUUGAGAAUACCAAUGGACAUCCAUAUCUUAUCAUUAUUUCAUAACAACCUUAUAUAUUUUUUGCCCAAAUCUUGGCCAUUAACCUUUCAAAAUAGUUGCAGGAACUGUUCCUGCCGCAAAUCCAAGGCGUUUAGGAUUUGGGAUAGGAACGGUCAACAAAGAAACUGUAUGAAUCAGUUUUGUGCAUUUUACAUAAGAUGUAAUUCAGCUUGCAUAUAAUAUAUCUCACUUUGCACAAUGUGUAACUAUAGAACAAAAUUUUAUAAGUCUCACACAUGAUAUGAAAAAUAAUGUAUAAGAUCAAAUCUGAAUCUUAUAUAUAUAUUUUUUUGACAAAAUCUUGACCAUCAACCUUCCGGAACCGGGAGUUUACCAUCCGACAACAUGAUCAAGAGUCUUUAACAAGAGCCCCACAAGAAAUGGUCGUGAAUCAUUUUCCUCCUUAAUAAAAGGUCCUGGACGCAAAUCUAUUCUGGCAACAUUACCACAAAAAAUUGAUACUAUGAUCUCAGAACAGGCUUUGGCUUUCCUGACCUAAACAAUACAAUAUCCUUUUUAUAGGGUGUGUUUUGAUAUCAAAUUAUUUAGAAUAAUAUUUUUAAUAACAUUUUAAGCACAUUUUUCAAUUACUCUUUUUAUAUUUUUAAUUACCUCCUUACAUGACAUAUAUAAUAUCACAAAAAACAUUUUACAUGAUAAUUCUAAAAAAAAAUUCAAAUAAUCUUCAACCCAAAUUUGUUACUUUGGGACGAAUGGGAGGUGCUGAAGGCUAAGGCUUUAUUUGGAUUGCAUUUUUCUAAUUUUUUGUAGAAAAAUUAAUCUAGCGAUUUGAUAUAUAUAAAAUAAAAAAAAGUGAUUGAAAAAUGUGUUCAUGAAAAGUAUAGCAAUUUGUCUUUAAAAAAUUGCAAUCCAAACAUACCUUUAGUUACAGGCUUCAACAGUUUCAGGAUUGGUAGAGGUCCAAAAAACAAUGUUUUAAAAACCGGACCGUUAAUUGAAUCGGUAAAGUGAAAGGGUCGAGAUUCAACUGGUCCGAUCGGUUCAACCUUAGUUCAAUGAAUUUUUUAAAAAAUAAUUUAUAUAAAUAUAUAUGUACAAAAUAAGACAUGUAAUGGACUAAUUUAAUACUUUACAUGAUGAAAAGUUUACUAUUUUUGAAGAACUUGGAUUUUUAAAAAUAAUUUAUUUAUUUUUUAAUUAUAAGUUAAAACAAAUAAAUUUCAUCUCAAUUUCAAUUAUAUCUACCAAAAAAUCUUAAAUCCAACCAAAAAAUAUCACAAUAUUUUGAAAUUAUACAAAAUUCACGUCUAUGAGAAUUUAGACAUUGUGAACUUAAAUUUUAAUUUACGUUUUGAGAUUUAAAGAUUGCAAUUUAAAAAAGAAAGUUUGGAAUUCGAAAGAAGUCAAGAGAAUCGAAAAUAGAAAUGCAAACUUAAUAAGAAACAAAAAAUGAGAUAAAAGUAAGUGGUUGUGGCAUUAAAUAAUUUGGGUUAAAAAAAUAAUUCUUUUUUAACUUUUUUAAUUUAAUGGACAAAAAUAAAAUUAAAAGAUGUAAGAAAACAUCAAUAAAUUAAAAAUAAAGAUGUUUGAUUAAAAAGGGAGUGACAAAAGAAAAGAGGAUAGAGAGAAAGAGAACGAGAGAGAAAAAGAGAAAGAGAGAGUUGAAAAUUAAAAAGAAAGUACCAUGAGAGGAUGAGAUUUUAUAAGAAAAAUAAAAAAAAAUAUGAGUGUUUGUUUUAUAUAAAUAAAUUAUAAAAAAAUUAAUAAGAUAUAAUAGUGCAAAGGUUACUAUAUUGGUCUUCUAUUACAAAGGUAUGAGUUCGAAUCUUGAAACUACAUUUUUGCAAAACGUAAAAAAAAAAAAAAAAAAAAAAAUUGAAAAUCGGAAAAAACCGAUUCAAUCCGGUUUUACGAUUGAACCAAUUUUUUGACCGAUUUUAUAGCAUGAUCAAUCCUUACAUAGAAUCGGAUCGAUAUCAUGACCGAUUCGCGAUUCAAUCGAUCGAAUCGGCCGAUCCGGUCCGAUUUUUCAAAACAUUGCAAAAAAGAGGGUUACCCUAGCCUGAAACAUUCCGUCAGAGCUAUCUGCUCCUAAGUACAAAAAUAAUAAUAAAAAAGAAAAAGAACAACAGCAAAAACCCAAUUUAACUAUUUUGCAGUCUCUCUGUUUCAUUCUGUCAUUCGUUGCCCCAUUUAAGAUUUAACGAGGGCUGGCUCUGGAGCUGUAGAAAGCUCUGAAACUGUACACAUACACCUAGAAAAUGGAAGAAGGGUUGUUGGUGAAAGAGAGAGAAGUGAAGAGAGAAAGGCUGACAUGGGGUGUUAUAGGCCAAGAAGCGAAGAGACUUUGCUACAUAGCAGGACCUAUGGCGGCUGUGACUCUAUCCCAGUUCUUGCUCCAGAUGAUAUCUUUGAUGAUGGUUGGGCACUUGGGUGAACUUUCACUUUCUAGCUCCUCCAUAGCCAUUUCCUUUUGCAAUGUUACUGGCUUCAGCGUUCUUGUAAGUUCCUUCUCUUUUGUUCCUCUUCCAGGCUUUUACUGACGUUUUCUUGCAAGUAUUUUUAAGCUUUAGGAGAGACAUUGAAAACUUACAUGCGACCACUGUGUGACGUUCCUGUUUUGUUUUCUGUCACUGUAAAUGGCCAAAAAAGUCUCCAAACUUUUUGAAAUUCUUAACCCUUUUUCUGCCCAAAAAAAAAAAUCACUCAUCUUCUCAAAACCAGCCUUUUAGGUCAUUCCGACGAGUUUAGGUCUUAAUGUGACCGGAAACAAGUAAAUGACCUGUUAAUGUAGAUUGCUCAAAACAAUUGCUUUCUUCGGCUUCUUCUUAUAAGCAGUUUAUCUCACUUUUAGUACUCACAGCCUCUUUCUUCGGAGCAACGGCUUUUUUGGCUUCUUCUCACCAGCGACAACAAUGGCAAUAGUAGUCUUCACAGGAGCAGGCUGCUUGAACGAAUUAUUCACCUUAAAAAUAGUUUUUCCGAUGCCAGAUGCCUUUUCAACUAAACCGACAAAAGCAACUUGAAAUUUGCCAGCAACUUCUGCUUCUUUUUUUGAAAUUUUUGGACAAUCGUGUAGGGACCCGAUCUAGCUAUGCCUCCUUAAUUGCAAUAAUUGCCUCCUUAAUCAUCUGAAAAUCGGCCAUGGAUGAAAAUUGAAAUUCGCCAUUGCUGAAAUUGAAGAUCGAAAUUUGGAUCAGAUUCAAUCGCGACCUUGUUGCGACCAAAUUUGACAUGAAGGAGAUGGGUGGAAGUGCUGGAGUGGGAGAGGAAGAAGGAGGAGGGGUAGGGGGAAAAGGAGGGGAAGGGGUCCCAGUGGAGAUGGGGACGGGAGUGACGGUGGAGGAGGGGGUAGAAUGGGAAGAGAGAGAGAGAGAGAGAGAGGGAGAGAGGUUGCGGUUGUGGGAGAGUACGGCGGUGGAGGUUGGGAGGGGAGUGACGGUGAAGGAGGGGAUGUUGGGUUGGGUGCCGGGAAGGUGGUGGCGGAGGAAGGAGAGGUGGUGGUGUUGGUUUGGUUCUUCGGGUUUAAUUACAUUUAGCUCCUUUUAGCUUGAUCAAAAUACAAAUUAGUCUUGAAGUUUGAGGUGUUUUUGUGAAAAAGUUCAGGUAAUUAUUUUUAGACAUUUUUGUACUUGAAAAUCUACACUAACUGGAUUAAACUCGCCGAAAUAAUCCAACAGGCUCAUUUUAAAGAGAUGAGUGACUUUUUUGGCAAAAAAAAAAAGUUUUAGUGAUCAAACGGUGCAAUUUUAAGUAGUUUGGUGACAAUUUUUGUCAUUUACUCUUUGUCUGCUUCAUCAACUUUAGUGGAGGAAGAAGCGAAUCGAUGUUAUCAAAUCGUCCUGAAAUUGAACUCUUCAGAUUGUACGCACAGAAGUCUUGACAAAAUCUGACUCGUAUGGAUAAAAUCCAGUUUCCAACCUUGCCAUCAAGAUUUGACUUCAUAAUCAUGAACUUCUUUGUUUUCUUCGUUCCUCUGAGAUUUUGCUAUGAUAUUUAAUGUUCUAAUGUUUGUGUGAUCAAUGAUCAGUGAAAGAUUAUGUUUGAUUUUUCUACCAUACUACAAUGAAUGUCUCUAUCAAAAUUAAUAAGACAUUGUUUUUCCUCGCUGAUAAUUAAUGCAGACAUGAAUAGGAGGAAAGGCAGAAAAGUUUUGAGUACGGCCAUUUAUUAUACUCUGCAAUUGCCUCUGCCAACUGCUAAGGUUCUUGAUUAAUUUUUACUUUGGGUAACAUAUAUAUUUUUUGUUUCUUUUUCAUUUUGUUCGUUUCUUGUGGAGGAGGGGGGGGAGGAUGCCUCAAGAAUUUUGAACUCAUUGACAGAGGUUAUGGAAAAUUCAAUCAUUCCUAAUUCGAGUGUCACCAAAGGAAAUAUUUCUGUCAUGCUGCUAAUAAGGACAAAAGCUGGACCUCCAUUAGUACAGCAGAGGGUCCAGAAGACAAAACUUCAACUGAAGAUAUAUUUUGUUUCCAUAGCAUGAGCCAAAGAGCUUUGCUCAAGCUGAUGUCUUUGUCGUUCAUUAAUUUAUUUCUUGGCAAAGGUCCAACAAUGACCAAAGCCUUUAAGGAACGGGAAUUGUCAAAUUUAGCGUCUCAUAGAUAGGGACCACGAGAUAUCAGGAAUUACACAUGUCCCUCAUAAUCCAAAUUCCAAAGGAUUUUUGAUAAGAUGGAAGGACCACGAUAUGCUGUAAGUAAAAAGGAAGUAGAGAAAAUUGAAAAAAGAAAAUUUCCCUUUGAUUCUUCUUCUUCAUUUUCAUUUUCUGCUGGAGGAUGGGUUUUUGUCACUACAAUCUGACUUUCAGUGACAACACGAUGAGCACAUGGUUAACUUUUGAAUUUUGAUUCCGUCAUGUGUACUAUGAGAUUAAGAUGUAAGAGCAUGAAUUUCCAAUUUGGAAAUGGAAAUUCAACGAAACAAUAAUAUAAUUUUCCUACCUACCUGAGAGAGCUCCUUGGUCACAAGAAAGAGUUACAAGGACUAGUGCUAAAAUCUUGUAAGUGAUAAUGGAAGAGUUACAGGAAAGAGUAACAGGUAACAUGUAAGUCAUAAUGGAAGAUGCAAAAUUAUCAAGACUAGUGCUACCAUCUUGUAUGUGAUCUGAAGUAUUCAGGUCUUGGUAAAGAUUUUAGUUCAAGUACACAUGAAUAUUUUUCAUUAAAAGACAAGAAUGUGUACGAAAUGACUAGGGGUAAUUUCUGAUUUACAUGCAUAUACUGAGGAAGAUAAAGUCUUGAAAUGGUUCUAAUCAGAAGUGGACUAUUUAUGUGUCAAACAGUUAGGAAUGGCAAGUGCACUGGAAACUCUGUGUGGGCAAGCCUAUGGAGCUCAGCAAUAUAAAAAACUUGGAACUCUGACAUAUACAGCGAUAUUUUGUCUUCUCAUUGCUUGUAUCCCACUCUCAAUCAUAUGGAUAUACUUGGGACGGAUACUCAUUUUGGUUGGACAAGAUCCUCUGAUUUCACAAGAAGCUGGAACAUUUGCUACAUGGCUUAUUCCUGCUCUGUUUGGCUAUGCAACUCUUCAGCCACUUAUUCGAUUCUUUCAAAUGCAAAGUCUGACCUUUCCCAUGUUCAUAAUUUCCUGCAUCACAAUUGUUUUCCACACACUUCUUUCUUGGGUGCUUGUCUAUAAGUCUGGAUUGCAGAACCAUGGAGCUGCAUUAGCUAUGGACGUUUCAAUGUGGUUCAAUGUUAUUAUCCUUGGUUUGUACAUGAGCUACUGUUCCUCCUGUGCACAAACCCGUGCUCCAAUUUCAAUGGAGAUGUUUCAUGGCGUGAAAGAAUUUUUCCGCUUUGCUAUUCCUUCUGCUGUCAUGAUUUGGUAAUCUCUAGAUAUGUUGCUAAUUUUCUUUUUCUGGCCUUAAAAAUGAAACAUCUUGAGGUUCUAAAGGAUGUUGCGUGUAUGCAUGAUUUCCAGCCUUGAAUGGUGGUCAUAUGAGCUUCUGAUUUUGUCAUCUGGCCUUCUGCCAAAUCCGGAGCUUGAAACUUCAGUCCUGUCUGUAUGGUAUGUUCUGUGUAAGCCUCCUGGAAGCUACAAAUUGAGGGACGAAUAAAUGAAUCUUCACGGGAGAAUCUAACGUUUUGUUUUAAUUUUCUGAACAGCCUCAGUACCAUUUCGACACUCUAUUCAAUACCAUAUGGACUUGCUUCUGCUGUAAGGUAUGUUGAAGACAAAGUGAAUAUCCACUCGUACCUCAUGAUCUGUCGAUGACAAGAAGACAUCCGGAUAUUAACUUUUCCUCCUGUUUUUCUUCAGCACCAGAGUGUCAAAUGAGUUAGGAGCAGGAAACUCAGAAGGCGCUCGAAUUUCUGUAAUUUGUGCCGUAAUCCUUGCCUUCACAGAGAUGAUAAUAGUGAAUACAGCCCUUUUUGCUAGCCGGCACGUAUUUGGCUAUGGCUUUAGCAGUGACAAGGAAGUUGUGGAUUAUGUCACAAUUAUGGCUCCUCUUGUUUGUCUAUCUGUUGUAAUGGACAGUUUCCAAGGAACCCUUUCAGGUUAAUUCUUGAACUCCUUUCUUUUGCUUAAUUUCUUUUUAUUGUUGUAUCAGAAGGAACAGGUAAGAGGGGGGCUAGGUUGGACUGCUGCCUUAUAAUGCAACUAAAAUUUUCAGGUGUUGCUAGAGGAUGUGGCUGGCAGCAUAUAGGAGCCUAUGUCAAUCUUGCAUCAUUCUAUCUAGUUGGAAUUCCUAUUGCUCUUGCAUUAGGAUUUGUCGCAAAGUUAAAAGGGAAAGGUCUAUGGAUUGGAAUCCUAUCCGGUGCUACUGUGCAAACUCUACUGCUAUCCAUAGUAACAGCUUGCACAAAUUGGGAAAAACAGGUCUGCUAUCUGGCUUUUUUCUUAAUUCCAUUGAGCUGCUUCCAUUUGAAAUCCGUAAACUGUUUAUUUGUCUUCAUUAACUCGGAAGCCUUCAAUAUCUUAUUGUGCAGGCAAUAAAGGCGAAAGAGAGGCUGUUCCAGGAAAAAAUUCCGGCUGAAGAUGGACCAAUUUGAUGACAGGAUAUCUACUCCUGCUAAUUGAGAAUAGGUUUAUCUGGACCAUGGUACCGUUACUAUUUAAGGGUAAUUUUUGUUAGGAAUAAUGACUCGGUAGAAGUGUUGAGACAAAAUUAUCAAGCAGUUCAUGCAGGGACUGUCAUUAAGGUUUGCCAUUUGAAAUAAGGGAGUCCGAACAUAAGCUUCUCCAUCUUGCGUUUCCAGUGUACUUCCCAUUCCUUACUGUCAAAAUAUUGUUAUUAGAACAUGAGAAACUACAGCUGGGAAGAUUUGGACAGCAAGGGCACAAAAAUCUUAGCCCACAAAUGGGGACCCCAAAAAAAAAAAAAAAAAAAAAAAAGCACAAAUUACUCAUAUUCCCUGUAUAUUUGUAUAAUAUUACAUGAGCCCCUUAAGGUUUGAAAAUGGGUUACCUCUUGUGAUUUUAUAUAAAAUGAAAAUGGUUUUAGAUGGAAAGCAUCUUCAGUAACGGCAAUUGGCCGAGACAUGCUCCAGGAGCGUGUGUGGUGAAAUUAUGAUAUCUAUUCCUAUCAUUUCAUAUAAAUAUCUAAUCAGCCCCUUGUAAUUUUGUAUCUAUCAACAUAAUUCCUCUGUAAUUUUAUGUAAAGUGGUUAGUCCCUUAUUUAAUUUAGUAUUUAAAUAAUCCUUCUAUCAUUUUUCACUUUACAUGAAACUAUUUGAGGGAUUAUUUAAAAAAAAAAUUACUAAAUAUUAGUCGGAUCUAGCCGACAAAUGGGGGGAAAACCAAAAAAAAAAAGGUAUAAAUUACUCAUAUUCCCCUAUACAUUUGUACAAUACCAGAUGAAAGUUACCCUCCUAUGGUUUCAUAUAAAAUGAAAGUUAGAUGGAAAGCAUCUCCAUUAAGGGGCUAAUGGUGUUGACGGAGACAUGCUCAAAAAGCGUGUGUGAUGAAAUUAUGGUGUCUAAUUUAAUCCUCCUAUCUUUUUUUUUUAUAGAAAUAUCUAAUCAACCCCUUGUAAUUUUGUAUCUAUCAACAUAAUUUCCUUAUAAUUUUAUGUAAAGUAGUUAAACCCUUAUUUAAUUUAGUAUCUAAAUAAGGGCAAUAUUGAUAUGUCUACUAAUGACAAUACAAAGACUAUUUUUUUCUCUUUAUGUGAAACUAUUGAGGGAUUAUUUAAAACACAAAAUAAAAAGAAAAACAAUGACCGAAUCUUAGUCGGAUUUAACUACUAGGUAAAAUAUAGAAAAACCCCUUGAGAUUAAGUGAAUAUACAAAAAAAGCCCCUUAUAGUUUCAAAACACACAUUUCUAUACCUCAUAGUUUGAACUAAUUUAAAAAAGUGAUGGAAAUCGUUUGAAUAAACGGGUUUGAAAUACACGCACUUCUUUUGAGAGUAUUUGUAUUGGAAAUAAAUAAAUUUUUAGUUGAUACACCUAUUAUACCCUUAGAAUUAUAAUACAGCAAAAGCCCUUUGUGGUUAAGCAAACAUAUAGAAAAAAGUCUCUUAUGAUUUCAAAUCAUAUAAUCCAGUAUCUUGUGGUUUGAACUAACUUGGAAAAAUUAAUAAAAAUCAUUUAAAUUAAUGAGUUUGAGGUUGCGUGACAUGGAAAAUAAUUUUUUAAAUCAAAAUUUUAGCUGAUGUACCUAUUAAACCCCUUAGACUUUAUAAAUUUUCCAAAAACAACCCAAAACUCUCAAAUACAACUCUCCUUAUUUUUAUAUACAAAAUAAAUAAAUAAAAAUUUUCAAAUAAAACUCACCUUUUUCCUAUGCACAAAAUAUAUAAAUAAAAGCAACAUUUAACUAUAAGGGGUCUUUCUGUAGGUUGGCUUAACCACAAGAAAUUUUUUUCAUAAGUUUGCUUAAUAGGAUCGUUAUUAGAAGGUUAGUUUUGACGAUUUUCGUUACUGUUUCAAAUUAAUUCAAAUCAUGAGAUGUCAAAAUAUAUGAUUUAAAAUCACAAGAGACUUUUCCGCAAGUUUACUUAAUCUGGGAGAACUUUUUUGUAUUUUAUCCUUUAAGUAUUGCACGUACUAUACGCUACAAGAUAUCAUAGCAACGAGAGCAGGUGAAUUCAUACGUCAGUUUUGGGCCUUUUUUGCUGGACAUGCCACUUUUCUUUUCGGCUGGUUCAACCGUACGAAAACCUAGAAUUGUCGUUUCAUUUGUCAAGAAUUGAUAACCGUGACCCAGUGAGGAUGUUUUUCAAAGCCAGAGCUUGAGAGUUGCAUUUGUUAGUGUCUGAAGCAACUUUUCUUGUCACAGACAAAACAUAUCAUUAAAAAGAUGGGGUAAUUUCGGAAAUCUCCCUUGAGGUUUGAAAAACCUCACUAACCUCCUCUAGCAGAAUUUUGGUGCCUAUUGCUCUAUGCUAACACUUUAGAGUUUAUUACAAACUUUGUUUGGGGGAAAAAAAUAUUUGUAGUAAUUAAAAGAAAAAAACUAAAUAAAUGAGAAUUUUAUUAAGUUUCAGAGCACAAGCGCACAACUGAUAUUGACAAGAUGUUCUUUAAUCUAUGGGUGGAAAAAAUUAUUAGGGCACGUUAGUUUUUCAAACUUGAUAAUGAGUUGGAGUUGGAUUUUGGGCCACAUAAGUUUUUCAAACUUGAUAAUGUAAGGUUUGAACGUUGAUCUUCCAUCCCACUAAACCUUACAGGUUUUGAUGAUGGCCACUGAACCAAACUUUGUAGUUAUAUCAAACUCUUUAUCAUUUGACCGAAUAAUUGUUAUUAUGAUUCUCAACAGUGUCCUUGUAGCAGUCAAAACUAGGAAGCAAGGUAAACUGAAAAAAGAGGAUGAAAGGAGACUUGGAGUUGGAAUUUGGACCUUCCUGUCCCAAAUUUCAACCGAAGUUUUCAGGAUUUCUUUGGUCAUAAAAAUUUCUAACAUUUAGAGAAUUUUGAAUUUGGAACUUAAUGACAAUUAUAAUGUCAUGAAACAAAAUUGAUAAUCAAGUGAACAUGUCAGCAAUUUUUUUUCCCUUUUCUUUUAAAGGGUUUAUGACCUGCUAAAUAAAUGUAAUGUUUUCUAAUGUUGGAGAUGAAAGGAAAAGACAAAAGGUCAAAGGAGUGAAAGAAGAAAAAAAAAAUAACAAAGAAAGAUUUAAAAAACCAAAAGAUUCAAAUACUGCAUUCCAUUGUAUUUUUGUCUCACAAGAUCACAUGAAAUCCAACUUUUAGAAAAAUUACAAAAGAGAGUAGAACUGAGGUUAUAAAAGAUUGAAGAACACACUAAGGGAGAGUUCCAACUGAAUUAUCAAGUUUGAACAACUUAUGUGGCCCAAUAAUUUGUUGCACCUAUGGAUUAAACAAAAAAAUCUUGUCUAAAUCAAUGAUGGAAUAAAAUUAAAGGAAAUAAGCAAAAGGGCAUUUGUGAAAUAAAAUUAUCAUCUUGCUCAUCAAAUUACUUUUUGAAUUGUACUUUUUCUGACCUGAACUGAUUCGUUACCAAAAAUUGAAAAGCAAUGGAGGUUAGUGAAAAUUUUCAAAUCUCAGGAAAGGUCAGUGCAAAUAUCAUAAAACACUGAAGUUAUCUCGAAAACAAUUUGAGUAUUGCUACUUGUCUCUGGCACUACGAUUGCAGAAGCUGUCAGUAUAAGGAUUGCCUUGGAUAGGAUCAGAGAACUGUUUCUUUAGUACUGGAUUCUAUCCCAUCUCCACAAAAGAGUAAAGCGUUUGUGCAUUUUGAUAUGGAUAGUCAAGCGAACGGCAAAUUUUGACUUUACCAUCAAAAAGUAGAGAUUGAUGAGACUCUUUAAGUUUCCUACAAAUGACAAUAAAUCCACAUAACAUAAUAAGACAGACAGGAAAUGGCUCGUCCCUGCUUGGUUUAGUUCUCAUGAUUUGGAGGACUUCUGGGAUGUUUGAGUUUGGACCUGUAAAAUGGGCGGCGGCCUUUGUAGACAUAGAGAAAAAUGGAGGAGGCAUUUUACUGGAGGAGGGAAAGAAGAUAGAGAGACCAUCGCGGGGGAAAUGUGGCAGAAGGUGAAGAAGCUAGGAUAUUUAGCAGGACCUUUGGUGGCUGUGGCUAGAGGUGUCAAAAAAAAUCCAUUUACCUAAAUCUACUCAUAUCCAUUCACAAAUAGCUAAAUAUGGAUAUUUUAAAUUUUUAUAUAUGAGUAUAAAUGGAUUAUUCAUUUAUUAAAUGGAUAUAAUUAGAUAAUCUGUCAAACUCAAUUAAACCCAUUUAAACCUCUCCAUCGCCACUUACAAUUCAUGACAGAAACCCGAUGCAUUCAAGCUAUAUCUGCCGGAAGGACACCAAGAUUAUUGAAUUCAUUGCUAGAAAAUUUCAUGCAUUAAUAUUGGUGAACUCUUGUAUGCAGUGGAACGUUUGAUUUUUCAACCUUAACAAAUAUUUGAUGCAUUUUUUAUGCAAAUAGAUAUCCUACUUAUUUUUUUUUUCAGAUUAUUCAUUUCGUCAUGAUGCUAACUACUUUUAUUUCGUUUAUUAUUAUAUGUUGAUUUUAUCUUAUCAUUGUAUUGUCUCGUAAUUUGUUAACUUGCUUAUUUUUCGGCAUUACCAAUUUAUGACAAGUUUUAGCCUCCUUUCCUACCUUUCCAAAAUGAAAAUUUAAAUUUAUGCAAGAAAAAAAAUGCCAGGGGUUCCAAGUUUUUGGAUUAAGUUUUUAUUUUAACUUUCAUAUUAUUUAGUUCACAUUUUUAUAUUCCUAUUAUUUAAUUAUUAAAUAGUAUGUAAUUUUGCAACAUAGCACAUGGAUAGGAAAAAUCAAUAAUUAGACUUAUUGGACAUUAUAAGUAAAUAUUUAAAAUUGGAUAUUAUGAGUUUGGAAAAAGUUAAAAUAAAUGGGUUGUAAAUAGGUAAUUGGGUUAUUCAACUCAUUUUUUGAUUUACCCAUUUAUACCUAUCUAAUUAAAUGAUAUAAAUAAAUUUACUCACUUGUACCCAUUACCUAUUUUUACCCGUCCAAACCCAUUUUGACACCUUUAGCUGUGACCUAAUCACCAUACUCUUUUUUUUUUCCCGGGGGAAACGUUAAACCUUAUCACCUUUCUCGUUGCAGGGUGUUAUCACUUCUGAUGGUUGGUCACUAGCGUCAACUUGAAUUGCCUAGCGGUGCGAUGGCCAUCUCUCUUUGUGGUGUCACUGGCUUCAGUUUUCUUGUCGCCUGCUCUAUCUUGAAUUUCUUGAUUGCAAUUUGACAUGGAUACCUUGUCAUUGUGCUCGUUUAUUAUCAAGAGAAAUGCAUGUGAAGAUAUUAAGCCUUGCACAUUGACAAAGACCCUGCUAUACUUCUAGCGUUAAAUCAAGCAAACAUUUCCAGCUAUGUUGUACAAGCACUUGAGACACUGUACGUAUUAUUGGCCUCUAAGGCUGUUUUCUGGAAAUGGUUGUGGUUACUGUUCUAUAUUAUGUGUUCCAGAGUUGAUGUAAUAUUGCAGUAGCAUAAAAAAGCUCGAAGACAUGACAUUUUCAACCAAUUAAUAGCAUUUAUAUGACAACGAAGUACUACUGCCAAUAUCAGAACAAGUGUCUGAACACCAGAGCUCCCUCAAGGUUGAUGUAAUAUCGCAGUAGCAUAAAACAGCUCGAACAAGACGUAACGGGAGACAUGACAUUUUCAACCUAUCAAUAGCAUUUAGUACUACUGCCAAUAUUAGACAAGUGUCUGAAUACUAAAGCUACCUCCUAGAAACUUAGUCAUACACAUCAUAUCAAAUUAUUUUGACACAUAAUGAUUAGAAAUAUUGGAGAAAAUUUGAGUUUCAAAACAACUAAAAUUGAAAAUAUUAUUUGCACUCUCAUUUUUGUUAAUCAAAUGUCUUAUAUCAUUUUCAUCAUAUAUAUUUUUUAUUUAUUUGGCUAUAUAAUAAAAUAAAUAGUGCAAAUAAAAUUAACAAAAUAUGGAGUGUAAAUAACAUUUCUCUCAAAAUUUGUUGUGAGGACAAAUUCGAUCCAUGAAUUCAGUCUCUCAUAUUUAUUGUGAUUUGGAUAAAGAUUUUUAAACCAGUAUUAUGAUAAUGCCCAAAAAAGAGAGGGGCCUAAUGCAGUAUAAGUGCAUUGUAGGAUUAAUAACAGCAUAACUUUAGUUGUAAUUAAACCAAAAGCAGCAUAAUGCUUCCAAUACUUUAAUAAUGAGAAAAAGUUUAGAAAUCCACUGAGAUCCCGUGCAAUCAUUAACAUCAAUAAAUUUUACUACAAACUUGCACAUUUUUCUUUCUUUUUGUGAAAAGAAGCUAGUUAAUCUAUUUAAAUCCUACCUAAAGGAGGUGAGAAUAUUAUCCUGUAACUCCAUAAUAUAAAUAGCAAGUUUAGAUAAAAAUAUGAAUUGCUACUGCAGAGGCCUCGUACUGGGCCUAGACACGUGGCAGCCCAGGUAAAGCCGAGCUGGGCUCCGGCCCCAGACUCCUGGCGACCGCCCUGGGCCGCACCCCCGCUAGGGCUCCAGUGGGAUCAGGAGACCGUCCCGCAGAGGUCGGAAUCCCGCUCGGCGCGGGAUUGAGAUUAUAUCAGGAAGGUCUCGGAACGUACGGAGGUCGGACUCUGGCCCAGGUAUAAAUAGUGCUACACACCCAUUGCCCAAGGUACGCUCACCAUUGACAACUUACUCCGGACAGUUACUACUUCCCGUGAAACUCGCUCACCGGAAAACUAACUUGGCCGUCGGAGCGCCCUCGGGGACAACCCUCGGGCCCCCUUUGUUAGCUCCUCUUCUCUGUUUUGCAGGUCUUGGAUCAGCUCUCCCAUCGACACCCCGAGCUGAUCAGGUCAGCUCUCCUAGGGGAAGUUCCGUGCCUCUUCAGUUGGCGCCGUCUGUGGGAAACGCAAGGUAAUUAUCGUUGUGUUGAUGGCAAGAACACGAUCCAAGCGAACCAUUGAGAGCACCGGCCCGAGAGCCGGCGAGGGAUCCUGACGGGCGGAGACCGAGGCGGCCCGGGGCGCGGGGGGCUCGGAGAGCGGAGAGGACGGAAAAACCCCCCAUGAGGUCCGCAAACGGCUUGAAAUUGCGAAAUUUGAGAGUGCGAUACUCGACCCCAAGAGGUCGGCACGCCUGUUAAAGACGGGGGGCUUGACGCUCAACCCAAGAGAUCGGCAUGACCGUCUUGAAGGUGUGAUGCUCGACCCCAAGAGGUCGGCACGCCGUGACUUACUUUGAGGCAGCUUGUCAAAACCAGGGAGCACGCUGGCUCGGCCCAGGAGGUCGGCACGAUUGCCCUGAGAAUGUAAUGCUCGACCCAGGAGGUCGGCAUGACUGCCUGGAAAAUAUGAUGCUCGACCCCAAGAGGUCGGCACCUCUGCUAAAAUCAGGGAGUUCAAUGCUCGACCCAGGAGGUCGGCAUAACUGACUUGGAAAUGUGAUGCUCGACCCCAAGAGGUCGGCACGUCUGCUAAAAUCAGGGAGCUCAACGCUCGACCCAGGAGGUCGGCAUAACUGCCUUGAAAAUGUGAUGCUCGACCCCAAGAGGUUGGCAUAUCCGCUAAAAUCAGAGUUCGACGCUCGACCCUGGAGGUCGGCGUGAUUGCAUUCAAAGUAUGAUGCUCGGCCACAAGAGGUCGGCACGGCUUGAAAUUUUGAAGUCGGAAAGUGCGAUGUUCGGCCCCAAGAGGUCGGCACGUUGUGCCUUAACUUGAAUGGGUUUGUUUGACCCAAGAGGUCGGCAAGGCUCAAAACUUUAAAAAGUCGGGGGCUUAAACCAUGUCAGUGGCAAUUUGAUGCUCGGUCCCAUGAGGUCGGCACGCAUUGAUCAAGUUUGUCGAAACUUGGGAGUUUGACGCUCGACCCAGGAGAUCGGCGCGGUUUUCUCAGUGACAGCACUGUACCAGAGGUGACCAGGGCAGAGCAGUGCGCGACGCUGGUCUCCCACGUGGCAGAGUAUAGAUUAGGUCUGCCUGGAAGCCUUACCUAAUCUAGGGGGCUAGUGCAGAGACCCCGUACU